AUGAACACAAAUUGAAUUUGCUGCUUUAUUACUAAUAAUUAUUGCAAACACAACAACAGGGUACAACACAAAAAUGCCACAAUAAAUAGAAAAGCAAUCAUACACGACCAUAUUAAUCUAUGAACAAAUAAAUUAAAGAGAUCACUAAAAAUGGACUGUACUUUUCACAUUUACUUGGCAUUUACAUUUCAAAUCUCUCUUCCAUCGANNNNNNNNNNNNNNNNNNNNNNNNNNNNNNNNNNNNNNNNNNNNNNNNNNNNNNNNNNNNNNNNNNNNNNNNNNNNNNNNNNNNNNNNNNNNNNNNNNNNNNNNNNNNNNNNNNNNNNNNNNNNNNNNNNNNNNNNNNNNNNNNNNNNNNNNNNNNNNNNNNNNNNNNNNNNNNNNNNNNNNNNNNNNNNNNNNNNNNNNNNNNNNNNNNNNNNNNNNNNNNNNNNNNNNNNNNNNNNNNNNNNNNNNNNNNNNNNNNNNNNNNNNNNNNNNNNNNNNNNNNNNNNNNNNNNNNNNNNNNNNNNNNNNNNNNNNNNNNNNNNNNNNNNNNNNNNNNNNNNNNNNNNNNNNNNNNNNNNNNNNNNNNNNNNNNNNNNNNNNNNNNNNNNNNNNNNNNNNNNNNNNNNNNNNNNNNNNNNNNNNNNNNNNNNNNNNNNNNNNNNNNNNNNNNNNNNNNNNNNNNNNNNNNNNNNNNNNNNNNNNNNNNNNNNNNNNNNNNNNNNNNNNNNNNNNNNNNNNNNNNNNNNNNNNNNNNNNNNNNNNNNNNNNNNNNNNNNNNNNNNNNNNNNNNNNNNNNNNNNNNNNNNNNNNNNNNNNNNNNNNNNNNNNNNNNNNNNNNNNNNNNNNNNNNNNNNNNNNNNNNNNNNNNNNNNNNNNNNNNNNNNNNNNNNNNNNNNNNNNNNNNNNNNNNNNNNNNNNNNNNNNNNNNNNNNNNNNNNNNNNNNNNNNNNNNNNNNNNNNNNNNNNNNNNNNNNNNNNNNNNNNNNNNNNNNNNNNNNNNNNNNNNNNNNNNNNNNNNNNNNNNNNNNNNNNNNNNNNNNNNNNNNNNNNNNNNNNNNNNNNNNNNNNNNNNNNNNNNNNNNNNNNNNNNNNNNNNNNNNNNNNNNNNNNNNNNNNNNNNNNNNNNNNNNNNNNNNNNNNNNNNNNNNNNNNNNNNNNNNNNNNNNNNNNNNNNNNNNNNNNNNNNNNNNNNNNNNNNNNNNNNNNNNNNNNNNNNNNNNNNNNNNNNNNNNNNNNNNNNNNNNNNNNNNNNNNNNNNNNNNNNNNNNNNNNNNNNNNNNNNNNNNNNNNNNNNNNNNNNNNNNNNNNNNNNNNNNNNNNNNNNNNNNNNNNNNNNNNNNNNNNNNNNNNNNNNNNNNNNNNNNNNNNNNNNNNNNNNNNNNNNNNNNNNNNNNNNNNNNNNNNNNNNNNNNNNNNNNNNNNNNNNNNNNNNNNNNNNNNNNNNNNNNNNNNNNNNNNNNNNNNNNNNNNNNNNNNNNNNNNNNNNNNNNNNNNNNNNNNNNNNNNNNNNNNNNNNNNNNNNNNNNNNNNNNNNNNNNNNNNNNNNNNNNNNNNNNNNNNNNNNNNNNNNNNNNNNNNNNNNNNNNNNNNNNNNNNNNNNNNNNNNNNNNNNNNNNNNNNNNNNNNNNNNNNNNNNNNNNNNNNNNNNNNNNNNNNNNNNNNNNNNNNNNNNNNNNNNNNNNNNNNNNNNNNNNNNNNNNNNNNNNNNNNNNNNNNNNNNNNNNNNNNNNNNNNNNNNNNNNNNNNNNNNNNNNNNNNNNNNNNNNNNNNNNNNNNNNNNNNNNNNNNNNNNNNNNNNNNNNNNNNNNNNNNNNNNNNNNNNNNNNNNNNNNNNNNNNNNNNNNNNNNNNNNNNNNNNNNNNGAUCCUCACUGAUUUUGUUGGAAGAGAAGGGUCUGGUGUGUUAGUGAUGACUGACAAAAGCUGCAUGAAAUACUUAGUACUUAUAGUGAAAGUGAGUCGUUAGAGGGGAGCUGUCACUAGGGACCAGUUCAAAAUUAUUCAUUUUUAUUUAAAUUAAGCUUCACCCAGCUGGCCCUGUGACUUUUUUUUAAUCACUCUUUCUUGUUUGUUUUCCUCCAAAUGGCCAUUCUCCAACUACUUAUUAAAAUAUUAAUCAGCAUCUUAUACCUUUCCCUAAUAGUAUUGAACACUAGUUACCGUAAUUAAAUUAAUGUCCUAUUCUUUUAUCUUUCCUUCCUGGCUUCCCUGCAGACGAUAAAGUAACUCCAAAAUGCCUUUAUUUAUCUUUCUCUUUCUCUUUCUCUUUUCCAUUUUUUCCCCGAGGGAAGCCAAAUAAUAUUGUAUUUUUGCAUCCCGGAUCCAUGAGUGGUCAUGAUUUUUUGUUCAUGUCAUCGAUGGCAGGCAUUGCUAGCUUUGUAUCAAAUCCUCUUUUGUUCCAGGUUGAAGAUAUUUUGACUUUUCAAUACUAUUUUUUUCUGUACAUCUCGAACACAAGCUUUUGGCAGUUUAUGAUAAAGAAUAAUCCAAAUUUGCCUUAAUAUGCUACACAGUCCACGUGUUCGAGGGGUUACGAUACAAGUCGAAUUACCUUAAUACGUUGAUUCGAGUGGGGAGAAGGAGACAGAAUGAGAAGUUGCUAUGAGAAGAGUACAAGUUCGCCACCUCUUUGGUUCACUCCACCUGUUAAUGUUUUCUUUUUCUUUUCUUUCUCUUUCUUUAAGAAUUUUCCCCGCCAUAUACGUGAUUCCUCAAUGAUGAGAUCAGCAUGUGAUGUUGUCAACACCAGCAUGAAGUGCACGUUGCUGCUUUUGCAGCUAAUUCGUGGUACCCAAACUUUAGAGGGGAACGAAAACAAAAAUGCUAGCAAGAGUAACGAGGGAAAAAUAGUGAUUUCUAGGUUAAUUUCAUUUCGUGCAAGAAAUAAUUAUUGGUAUUUUCUUGAACCCUCAACUUUAGCUAGCUAUGCCUUAAAUCUGUAGAAGACGACAUUUUUGACGUAAGUCAUGAACCAUUAAGUCUUUCUACUAAAUGUUUCUGUUUGGGCACUUCGAAAUUUCUGAACACCUUUGAAGAAAUAUUUCAGUAACAUACGAAGAAACCAUUCCAGAAAAUAAAAAAUUGAAAUGUGCACAUAGAACGGAAUUGUUACUGCAAUGUGUAGUCAGGGAAUUCAUUGGGUUUUUCUCUUAAUAUGUUCCUUUGUGAUGAAUUUCAGAGGAGUUCAAAGAUAACUAACUAGCUUUGCGUGAUGCAUUGGUUUUAGCAAUUGAUCAAUGUCGGCAUGUGAGAUAAAUUUAUGGCAUGAAUAAUCAAUAACUGUAACAUGAAUGAAUGAAACGUGCACACUAUGGUUCGCUUAUAAAAUAUAAUAUAAUUGAACAACUAAGCAUUUGCCAAUUAAAAAUAGCCCUACAGUCCCAAAGGAGGAAAUCUACAGGUACAUUUUUCUAUGAAGCUCCGGACAUAUCUAGUUUUAUUUUUAUAUGGUUUGAAGAGUCAAGAUUCCCUGAUAAUCUCUGGAAAUGGAAAAACUAAUAGUAAAUGAUUUUUACAUAAGCAAUACUGACAUUGUAAUUAUAUGAUAUGAUGUGCAGUGUUUUGAAGGGAAAUGUGGUAACUUUUUUUCAUUUUAGUACAUCUGGUCUGUUUAUUUACCGUUCUAAAAGCGAAUUCCAGUGUAGUUAUAUGUCCCAUUGAUCAAGAUUACCAUAUGAUGUGUGCAUUAACUGUGUCCCCAUGUGAACCUACUAAUAAUUAAAUUCUAAUAGCCACCCACACACACUCUCUCUCAUUGUUUAUGUUAGUCAAUGCCGUGAAGUAGAACGUAUCUGAAUUAAGGUGUAAAUAGAACAUGGGGUUGUUGAAUUUAAGGGAAGAUAAAUCACUUGCAUUUGAUUAGAAAAUUUUAAACGUUAAUAGGAAGGAUAUCUGUUCCAUGCAUAAUGAGAUUAAGAAGUGGUAGUCAUAGAGGGGUGGAAAAGUUAGAAAGUGAGAAGGAUUGGACAGCUUGGGAGGGAAUAAUAGUAAGAUAGAGGAAACGCGAGUCCCUUUCGAUGCUUUAUUAUGUAGAAAUGAUAGGAGUAAAUCACAGUGAAAAAUCAAAGAAAGACUUUUCCUAUAAGAGCAGAUAAUAAUUAUAUUAAAGUUGUUUGGAGGGCCACACCAUCAACCACUUCUGGUCCUAAAAUUCUCACGUUUAGGUGCAGUGCAGGUUGUUGCAAUUCUGCAGAAUCAAGUUAUCUUCAUCAACCAUUAAUCUGAGCACCUCAUCUUCCCCUUUUCCUUUUAUUCUUCUCCUAGCUAGGAAUGAGAUCACUUAUGUACUUCUCUAGUUAUAUUCAGAAUUUAGGACUUUGCUUUUAUGCUUUUGAUUUUGACAAGAGCAAAAUGAUUUAUCCAAUACCAAAUUCAUUAUAUAACGAAUGAUUUUCGUAGCUUAUUUGCUUAUUUGGUCAACUUGUAGUUGUACACUUCUCUCUUAUUGUGACGAGGGACUUAGGGUUAAAACGGGGAAGGUGAUGAAAUGAAAUCUCUCUCUUUCUGUUUUGCAAAAGAGACAUUGACUUAAUGCUAAAAAAAGAGCAAUAGAACACCAUGACCAAAUAUAUUAGAAACAUAAUAACAGUAAUUGAUUUUGUUUGGUCUUUCAAUUAUGAAGUGAGGAAAUCUGGGCUACUUUAAGCAUAUAAUUAAACUUAAGGUUAAGGGGUUAUUAGCUGUUGCAGAAUUCAUCAUAUAAUUAAACUUUUGUUAGUCCAAGUAGGAAACAACACCCUCCAAACUAAGAUGACAAUAUAGCCAGGGGUAAUACAUUAUGGAGGACAUAUAUUGAUGUUGACAGGUACAUGUUUAUCACAAAUAGUUGUUGACCAAAAUAUGUUACAGCUAAAAUGUAUAUGUGAUGAGAUUCAAUUUACCUAAUAAUCUAAUACAACAACAAUAGUCAUAUCCUAUUAGUAUUAGAUGAGGUUAGUAGCAGGUAACAGGGAUAACUGCAUAAUUUUGCAUAUGAAUAAAAUAAAAAAUACAUGACGAGUAACUCGAUUAAAGAAAAGCUUUAAAAUUGUUCCUUUUGGUAUUAUUUCUCUGACGAAGACUCAAAGGACAAUAUGGGCUAGCAAUAAAUGUGUUUCGCUGAAAUUAAAAAUGCCAUAAUAAUUCUGAUUACAUACUUUCUGCACGUGCUGAUGGUAGCCGGGGUGUAUUCCUUUGUAGAUCUACGUUCUCAAGUGAAAAGUAUACAUGUUGAUUCUUUUUGAAGUGGCCGUCUUGUGCUUGGUUUACAUCUAAUUAAGGAAAAUAAAAUCAAAAUCUGUUUAUGCUUUUAAUUUUCCUGAUCCAUACUUUCACUUUCACAUGAUCGAAUGGGAUGAUUCUUUUCUUUCCUCUCAUCCUCUUUAUAUAAAUUCACAUGAAAAAUAACUAAGGUAGUAAGGUGCGUCUUUCUUUUGUUUACAAAAGGUCCUAAAUGCUAAUAGUUCCUUAAUUAGUGCAGUAAUGCCACCAAUUUGCCACGUAAAUGAAUUAUUGUCUGGCUAGCACAUGCAUUAAUUCAGUAACGGAUCUAAGAUCCUGAGUGGGGAUGACAGAAAUACAUAUUUAAAUUAAAUAGGAUAAGUUGUAUGACAGCCAUUAAUUAUUAUAUAUAUUGAUGCAACAAAUAACGAAUUACAACAAAAAAAAUAUAUCUUAUCUUAUUUAGUUAAUUGAGAAAAAGAUAAAAAUAAAUUUUUGAAUUAAAUACUUAAAUAAAAAUAACAAAUACAUGAAAGGAGUAAAAAAUUAAAAAUAAACAGUUCAAAUAUACAAAAUUAGGAGGAGCAAAAUAUACAUAUUUAAGGUAUUUAUGUAUAGUUUUUUAAAAAUAAGGGGGCACAAGUGCACCCCUAAAAUGUAUAUACAUUCGCCAUGCAUCAAUUAAGUUUGAAGUAUAUGUCUUACAUCGAGAAAAUACUUAUAACUUAAUUCAUAUGUUAUUUAUAGAGUCUAUCGAAUUUAUCGAUAACAGUCAGCACCAAACACCACCCUAGUGUCACCACCAAUAAAACCAAAGGCCACCAUCAAAAUCACCCCCAAACACCACCAUCAAACCACUAAACACCGCAUGCUCCUCUUUCUCUUAGAUUUGUGACCUUGAUGUUGUUGUCGUGCAUAGUGUGCUGGCUGGUGUGGGUAGUGGCGUGCUUUGGAGGAGGUGGUGCGAGUGGAAAUGCGACACAAAGGAGAUGAGUGAUGAUGGCGCGAUGGUUAGAGUUGUGGUUGAAGGAGAAUUUGAGGGGAUGGAAGGAGAGAGAACCCAAAAAAGAGAGAUAAGAAACAUAGUUCCGCACGUCAAAUUUUGAGUGGAUACUCAUGUUUGGAUUUGUCCAGAUCCAAAAAAGAGAGAUAAGAAACAUAGUUCCGCACGUCAAAUUUUGAGUGGAUACUCAUGUUUGGAUUCGUCCAGAUCUAAUUUCGAACAAAAAAAACAACACAUUUCAAUUUUAGGAGGAUGAACAACACAUCAAAAAUUUAUAAGAAUGGAUUUUAAAUUUUUUGAUAUUUAUAUAAACAAAAAAUAUAUUUUAACAUUUUUUAAUCAUAUUAUUGAAACGAAUUAUCUAUCAGUUUUACCAAUGAUUAAUCUAUUUUAGAAUAUUUAAAUGAGAAAUGUGUCUUUUUAAUAAAAAGUGGACAACUAAAGGUUUGUAUUUUUUUUUAUAAUUAUAGAGUAUAUUUCCGAAAUAUGUGUAUAAAAAAUGUGCAAUUUAACUUAUAUUAUAUUAUUUGAUUAUAGAAUCAACUUGAGUUUCAUAAAUUCAUUAAUGAAAUAUUUCAAUAGCAUUAAUUAGUGGAUGCAAGCAAAGAAUACGUAAUACCUUUUUUUAAGAACACAUAAUACUAAACUCACCGAGAGGGAGAAAUUAUAUGGUUUAACCGUUUAAGUAUAGAAGAAUCUAAUAAAUUUCAACACCCGGUUUCGUUGGUUUAUCUUGUAAUAUUCAAAGGUUGCAACUUCAUGUUAGAUUUGAAUUCUGUAGUUUGUUUAUUGACAUUUGGCACCGGAAUCAAAAGUCACUGUACACAUACAGAAUACUAUUUACAGAGACAGAAAAGAAUAAGGAAAAAGAUUACUCAGUAAUUUUUACACACCUCACUCAAUUAUUGUAUAAAUUUUUUGUUAUCUAAUUGUAGUUGUUUCUGUUCUACCCGAAGUAAUUAAGAAAAUUAAUUUUAACCAAAUUCUGUUAAUUGUUUUGAUUGACGUUUUUUUUUAUUGACUGAGGUCUGAGGUUUGAGAUGUACGAACAACAAUGCUAGCUCUGAUGUGACUAAGAUGCCGUAAACAAAGGAUAGGUACUUAUAAAAAAGUACUUCAAUUAAGAUCUCGUGCCAAUAAAUCUAGCAAAAUGCUAUACAAAUGUAUUAUAGAAAUGUUUGUCUAACACUAUGAUGUUUAGUUGUAUUUAUAAAAAUUUAAGAAGAGCUAAAUUUAUUGACACGAGAUCUAAGGUCUCUCAAAGGUAAUAUUAAUUAUCUUAUUUUAGAGUAGUAAUAAGUUAACUUUACUAUGGAUAAAUAUGCAUUUUAUUGUUUACAAAUGUAUUAUAGAAAUUUUGCGCUAGGAUGAGAUGCAACUUCGGUCAACACUUAUUAAAUUGGCCUAGUUCGAUCCUUAAUGCCAAUGCGACUAAUCAGGUGGAUUAGACUUUAAGUCAAGUCCAUAACAAUUCAUGCAUCUUGGCAUGCUCUGCAUGUCAAGUUUCUAGUUAAAUUUCGAGGUCUUUGUUUGAUUGAAGAUAAAAGGACAUAGUUCAAAGUGUAGUUGUAAUUAUACAUUUUCAUAAUUUGUCUAAGUUGUAAUUUACCAAUUAGUCGGGCACAUGACAUAUUUUGUUUGAAUGCCAGUCCUCGAAGGGGCAAAAAAAAUUUAUAUGAUCGUAUAAUGAUUUUUCUACAUUAUUUUAUUUUAUUUUCAUAAAUAGACUGGAAUUAUUAUUUUAUUUAUGUCUUUCUUUUUUCAAAUUAAAAUGUAACGUCAAAUGAAAAAGUAUUAUCUGAUCGGUUAUAAGUUUUUUCUUAUAUGUUACUUUAUAAAUUUAUAUUGAAUGAGUUUUCAUUUUAAUGUGGCAUAUCAACAUGUAAUAUAUCUCUGAUAAUAAACUUGAAAUAUUUUUUAUUUUAACAAUAUAAAAACGCAAAAAAAAUCAAAUUAGAAAAGAAACAAUAUUAUACUUUAGUACCUUAAUUAAAAAAAAUAUGUAAGUAUAUAUUUUAUCAAUGAUAUAUGAAACUAGAGCAUUUUUUUUCAAAGACAAAAUAUAAAAAUUAAAUUAAAAUGUAAUUAUAAAAUAAAUAUUUUAAAAUAUAUAAGUAAAUUAAAAUUAUAAAAAAAAUGUAACAAGUUCUAUGCAGGUUUACCCAAAAUUUAAUAAAAUCCAACAAAGAUGGGAAGAGAUUUAAAAAAUAUAAACCCAUCUCUUUUAAAUCUAAACCUUUUUCCCCUUUUGUAGGAAUGGGGAUGAGGACCAACCAGUGUGGGAUCCAAUUUUUUUUUUUUUAGUGAGGGCAAGAAAUAAUUUAGGGUUAAUUAUGUUUUUUAUCUUAAAUUUAUUGCAAAUUUCACUUUUAGCCCCAAAAUAAUUUUUUAGUAGUUUUAGUCCUUUUUUUUUUAUCUUUGUUAGAGGAUUUACUCUUUGUUAUUGAAUAUCAACGUCAAUUGAUUACGCAAUAUCCAUGUUUGACAGGACAAUCAUAUGUAAUAUUUUUUAUAAAUUGUGUUUUUAAUCUCUCGUAAACUUGUUUAACAUUAUCAACUAAUAUGAAUAAAUAAGAUAUAAAAAAUAUGGUUUAUCAAGAAAAAUUAAAUGUAAAAUAUUCUCAAACUCCUUGAUGAUAUAACAAGUUAAUAGAUUGUUUUAAUUACAUGAAUGAUUAUGCUAUCAAUUAACAUUGUUAUUUGAAUAUGGGAACUAGAACUAUAACAUUAAGUUAAUAAGAAAUUAUAAGGAUCAAAAACGUUUAAAAAUUUGUUUAAGGACUACAAGUAAAAUUUACAAAAAAAGUUUAGGGACCAAAAACAUAAUUAAUCCAAUAGUUUAUAAUAUUUUUGAAAAAUAAAAUAUCACAAUUUUUUUUUAUAAAAAUACAUAAUAUCAUGACAAAAUAAAUCCAAACUAUUUAAGUUUCUAUAAAUCACAAUUGUUUUCUACACAUUUUUAUACUUUAAAAAUAUUUUAUAUUAUUUUCAUUGUCAAUAUUAUAAAUAUUAAAAGGAUAUAAUGAAAUUUGUAUCAGUUUAUUCUUCUUUUUUUCCAUAUUUUUUACAUUCAUAUAAAAGUUUAUUUUAUGGGAACAAUACCUAUUUUUGUAUAGGAGUAAUUUUUUUUAUUACACAUACAAAUAAUAAAAAACUUGUGGGAGCAAUUUCCCCAAACCAUUACGUGUGCAUUGGUCAAUGAGACGGAUGCAUUUUGUUGUCAUGUCUAUCUUAUAUUAAAUAUUUAUGUAUAUAUAAUUCUUUUGAAAAUAAAUUGAAUUACAGAUAAGAGUAUAUUGAAUAAAAAAUAUAUUAAAACUAUUUUAUUUGUUGUAACAAAAUAUAUCAAAAUUUACUAAAGUUUGGUGCCUAUUUUUAUGUAAUAUAUAUUUACGUUUUUAAAUAUAAAAGAAUUUUUUUGAGUAUUUCAUCCUUGGUCUAUAAAAUCCAAAGACCGAUCCUAUUUUUAUUAAUUACAUUGUUACAGUGUUGUGUCUUUUGUUAAUUUAUAUAAUAAUAUUGUGAUUCGAUCUGUUAUAUGUAGUCAAUUACUAUGAAUUUUUAAUUAAUUAAAGUUUAGUCUAUUAUAAUUAAAAUUUAACAUUUAACCCUCUUAAAGAAAAUGCUCUGGCUGCCCCCGUGUCAUACUUUUAUGGUAGUAUUGCAAGCAUGAGCCAGCUGGUUGGUGGCUAGCUAGUAGCUAGUGUGAUGUGUGAUGUGUGAUGUGUGAUGUGUGAUGUGAUAACAAGCAGUAUAUCCAUCCUUAUCGAUUAUAAGGAAAGUCUUUCCAUCCUUUUCUUCGUGUUUUCAUUAAAAGUAAACAAUUUCGCUAAUUAAUCAUAUCGAUCGUGCAAGUGUGGUGAAGUUUCAUACUGAGCAAAAUUACAAAAUUUGAACAACAUGUAUAAAUGAAAAAAAAAAUAAUUAUAAAUCUAAAUAUUAAAAUUUUAAAUUAAAGUGUGAAAUCAGCUUAUCUAAAUAUAAGCCAAAUGAUUAGUGCUGGUAUGCGUCAAUUCACUCCCAAACCCAAAGUCUCUUUUCUUUUUCAAUAGCUGCAGGCGCAGACCAUCCAAUUUAACUCAACCAACCUGGUAUAUUUUAUUAUGACUUUGAACAACACUUGUGUGAAAAAGUUUAACUCUCAAAAUAUUUUUACUUUUACUCUUAGGAACGACAUCUAAAUUUUUAUUCAAUUCAUUACGCAUCGAUUCCAUGUAUUCAUGAACAAUGGACUUUAAUCUUUAAUAUUUUAUCUCAUUUUAUUUUCAUUUCUAAUGAAAAUCAUAUAUAUGCAAGUUAAAUAUUAAUGCACUUAAAUUCGAAUGUCAUUAUAUAUUUAAUUCUUUUAAGGAAUAAAUCAGAAGAAAAAAAUGGGAUGGUAACAUGUUGCAAUAUACGAUAGGCCGGAUGAUGGCCGAUAAGGAGUCACUAUAAGCUCUCAAUAAUUUUUUUUUAUGAAAAAAAUAGUACAUAUAUUGACCUGGGAGUCAAUGCUGCUGUCGUGUUCAAAUUGCACAAUAAUUCUUGGCCAAUGCUAGCUUUAAACCAAUUUUAGCAUAAAAAAAAUAAAAUCUAGUAUAUUGUUGAAUACAGCUGUGAUUAUGAAAAAGGCAAUUUUAUAUAUUGAUGAAUUGAAUUUGGAGUGAGAUGGACCACGUGCAUGAUGCUUCGCAUAUAUAGCCGCCGGGGCCCACCAUUUACAUUUGAAAUUGCAACUUGCUUAAAUCUUUUGUCCUCAAUCUUAUGUCUCUACAUUCCUACGUGCAACUUUUAACACCCGACUUGGGUAUCGUCCAUGUCUCAAUAACAAGUUUCAACUACCUCCAAUCUUUUUGCUCCAUUUUUGUUUUUGGGCACUUUGUUUAACCUAUUAAGCAGACUAUAUUGUAAAUCUAUCGAAACUCCCCUUAUGUAUUUUUAAAUUCUACUUUAGGUGGGAGUUUAUAUACUAACAUAUAUGCAUGUAAUAUUAUAGUUAAGACACUUGGACAGUUGAACAUUAUACAUUAAUGCUAGCGAAACACGUUUGUUUGCACAAGAUAUUAAUUUAACUCACUUCAACUCCGCGUGUUUAUCCAGAUGUGACUGCUCAGCUACAGAUUAAUUAUUACUUAUAUAUAUGUUGAAACAGACAUAUGUAGUCAAUGGUGAGGGAGGUUUAUAACUAAAUCAUCGAUCUUAUAGAGAGUGGUAGAUUGGUAAUGCCAUGUAGUUGAAACUGCUGGAUCCUGUGGCUUUGUACUAUUCUGGAGGGAUAUAUAACUAAUUAACUAUACCUGAAAAAGGAAUUUUGCUUGUAAUGGAAAUUUAAAUUUUUAUGAUUUAUAUAUAAUUAUAUACUAUAGUACAUGUUAAUUUGAAUGGAUACUUGUACUCGAAAAUCAAAUCUCUAUUCGAUCAUGUCAUUAAUGUAGUUUCAUGCUUCCUGUAGUUCCGACAUAUAACAUGAAAAAUGGCAUAUAUGACCCAUUAUGAUAUCUAUGUCCCGUGACUUUGCCGUCUAAUUCAAGCAAUUUUGUUAAUUAGCGUAAUUUCUUUUCCCUUAUGUGUAAAUAGAUACAAUGUGUUAAUAGUACCACUCCCAAAAGGUAACACAUUUACAUGCAUGCAUGUAACAUUACAAUAACUCUUAUUCAGAAAUGUAUGUAGAAUAUAUAAAUACUUGUAACUAUAUCACAGUAUGUACCCGUUGAUAGAGGCAAAAUCUGAGAGAAAAAUAAAUGUAGAUCUUUAGAUCUAUCAUGAUAUAUUAUAUAUACUUGAUGGCUGUCUCGGUGAAAAGGUGCAGCACCAACAAUAAUGGAGAUGAUAAAAUGCAAGGAAAAGAAAAAGAAAGAGGACACUCAGUUGAUACUUGAUACCUAUCCUAUAUAUAUAUAUAUAUAUAUAUAAUACUUGUUGGUCCUUUUUUUUCAGAGGAAAAGAAAAAUGAAGAGUACACUCAGUUGAUACCUACCCUAUAUACUAGCAUAUAUAAUACCUGUUGAUCCUUUUUGUCUGAAAAAAUUGUGACCCUUAACAUUGAUCUAUUAAUCUUACAUUCAUAUUCCAAUUUCCCUUCCUUCCCAGUUCCCACCCCCAGGCCCCGGGCAGUAUAUUCCGCAAAAGUUUUCGUAUAUGCUGUUAUUUUCAAUCAGUCUAUGGUGUUUUUGGACAAAACAAAAAAGCAUAUACGAUGUCGUUUUCAUUGAAAAUACUUUUUUUAUUCUUUAAUAACCCAUAUGCUUUGCAUCUGUAUGGCAGUAUGUCUCGGACUUCAAUUGAUUAAUUUGACAAGGAACAGUAUUUUUUGAAUUUAAUAAGUUAGAUAACUUGAAUAGAAUCAAACCCUUUAUCACUUCAAAUUUUUUUUGGUUAUAUUUUUAUCACUUUAUUGUAAAGGCCUAUUAUUCUUUUACUACGUACACAUUAAAUGUUUGGUAGGUAAUUUCUCAGAUUAAAUCAUGCUUACAUGUACAAAAGGUUGUAUCUAAAAUGGUGACUUUAAAAUGAUUAAAUCAUGCUUACAUGUACAAAAGGUUGUAAUUUUUUCUUAACUAUGUUGUAUCCAGCUUGCCAAUAAGCCUAUAUAAAAGGUCAUAUUGUUGUGGUACGUCUAGUAAUGAGAUUAUAGCUAGAAAACCAUUGGUUAUAUAUAUCUUCAUUUUGUAAAAUGAAUAAUAACAUAAAGAGUACUAUACAUAGAAAUGACUGAAUUUAUAGAUACAAAAUAUCAGUAAUAUGUUUGGACAACAAUUAUUUUUAAAUAUGUAUUUUUACUUUGGUCUUUAUCAUUUCAUUUUUACUUUGAUCGGAGUCUUUGCCAUUAUCUACAACCAAAUCUUGAACUUUUUAAAUUUGCACUGCGUUGAAUCAAGUCAUGUGAUCAUCCUUUAUAAAAAGAAAAAGUCAUGUGAUUAUCAUGUCUUUUUUUAUAAUAAAAAAAAGUAAAAAAAAAAAAGGCACCAGCGGUAUAGUUAUUUGAAAAAAUAAAACCAUGUUUAGGAAGAAACAUUCAACAUCUCAGUAUAAUCCGUUGCUUUACAGUGAAGCUAGGUUUGAAGGUGAAGAAUUUUGUAAGGAUCAAUUAUUGAAAGGUUACUAUCUUAUUAUGCAAGUUAAACAAAACAAAAAUAUAUACUAGUAUAUUUUAAUGAAAUGAUUGUGAUGUGGGUUUUGAAGAUGGAGAUUAAAGAUUGUAUAGAAUUUCAGCCAAAAGACAAGGAAGUGAGAUUAGAAGUAGCGCCAAAAUUGGUGAGAAUAUUGGCCCUACACACAUACAUAAUUUUUCUUAUCCCACGUGGAAUUGAUUGGUCGCAUUUUUGUUAUUUUAUUUGAAAUGGUAACCCAAUCAUGACGACUCACUACUCCCUUCUCUUGGCCAGAAGCUUCCGGUGUUUUCGUUGAAAAGUCGCCACCAGCUACUUCCACCAUUAUUCAUCAAACUUACUUUCAAUUUAUUUCUUCAAACUUUUCACUUAUCUCUUGUCUUGGUAUCCUAUGUUUCUCUUCUUCUUUUUUUUUAAUUUGCUUUCUCGUCUUACCAACCCACCCAAUAUCAAGAUUGUUCAAAAAUUAAUUACCAUUUAAUAAAAUGAUAUGAUUUUUCAUAAAACAGAGUAUAAAUAAACUGCAAUUUCAUUUUCGGUCAUCUUACAAUUUAUGUAUGCAAGUGCAGAGAUAAGGACACCAAUCAAUUUAUGAACUUCGUUAAAAAAAAAAAAAAACAAAAUGUUAUGAACCAGAAUAUAUUAUAUAUGUCCCAUUUUCAUUGAGCCACAUAUUGUCAUAUUCUCAUUAUUCCUUCCUAAAAUAGUGAAUUGACUAUUUCAACAAAUAUGUCUCUUACCUAGUCCCGGGGAUUCGAUGAAACCACUUUUAUUAAGCUACAACUUGAUUAAACUUUGUUACUCUUAAUUACUGCUAUAGUAUAUUGCGAUGUUUUGUAUCGAUGACCAAUUUUUUGCACUACACUCGGGUACUUUUAUUUUUGUAAGUUAAGAAUUUUAGAAUUACAUGCAGAUCGCCAACCACAAAACAGGAAUUAGCACAAUUACACAGCAAUUUCCAAACACCCUAGGACGCAACUAAGAACCAUCUGUCACUGGGACAACUAUUGACUAUUGUACAUAAAAGUAUCUGAAUCUGAAUUUAACAAAAAGAAGUUUAAAUAUACAAUGGCAUAUUAAAAUAUGACGUCGUGUGUAUAACAUUAAUAUUAUGGAACGGUACGUAGCAAAAGUCUUUGAUAAACUUAAGUUAGCAAGGCUGUUAAAGUAGAGUAAUAAAGAGAAAGUUACCCACGCAAAUUUGUACUCCUGUCCAACGCUAAUUGAUUGGGUUCCUCGAACCUCGAAUCUCUAAUCAAAUGGAUGGACAACAACACACUUUAUAACAAAUUUAGGUGUACUGCAAUGCCUUAAAUGUUUCUACUGUUAUUUUCAAUCAACUUUACCUGCUUGUAUUUCUCUCCUACAGUAACUCCGUUCCAUCAAUUAUGUUUCGAUAAAAAUUGCCCCAGAAAUUUUAUUUUUCAUAACGUCAUUUUUUUUGGUUUAUUUCAUAAGGUCAUUCAAUCAGGCCGAGAGGUAUCUCAACAAUAAUCAGCCACGACAUUAGUUUGAUGUUAACUUUUAUUUAUGGACUAUUGAAGUAAAACCCAAAUUUUGAUUUAAAAAAAGUAAAAUAUUGUGUUUACAUUUUAUCCAUUUUCAAAAUUAACAACUAAAAUAUAUAAAGAUGUAUCUAUCUAAAGAAAUUAAUUUUUCUUCUCUAACUAUGCUGCGAAAUUUAGGGAUGUUUUGGAUUAUUGUUCGGUUGUGAUAUGUUAAUUACUUUGCGAAAAAAAAAUAUAAAAACCCAUAGGAGGAUAACUAAUACUGUCGGUAUAAGAAAAGUCAUUACGUGACAAAGUUGGUGUUGACCAUCGUUUUUAUUAAAGGGCCCUACUUGCUAAAACUGUAGUAAACACAUACUCAUUAAUAAGGUAAAUUGUCUAUCUGCUCCGUCCUCUACGAAGUUUAUUAUGUGUAAAUGUUGUAUCAAGUACUAUUUUUACCCCUCAGAGUAAUUAAAAUUAAGGCAUUUUCUAGUACAUUCACAAAAGACCGACUACUUAAAAAGUGGAAAAUUAAUGAGGGCUUGGCCCCAAAGAGGUGAAAUCUUAAUCUAUAAAGGUCAAUGUUAUCAAACUUAAGAGUUUAAGUAGAUUUAUAAAAGUUUAUUUUAUAUAAAAAUAAUAACAAACUAUUUAUAAAUAACAUAUUAAUUAAACAUUUCAACAAUAUAAGAAAGGAAAAUAGUAAAUCAUAAAUUUCACAAUACUUAAAUAAUCAAGUCUAGGAAUGCAUCACUACUAGAUAAUAACUUGCAUAUGUUAUAAUAGUGGUAGAUCAUUCUCAUCAAGAGUUUGAUUUUAUUAGAGAACAAAUCUUUGAUAUUAUUAAAUGUGAGAAUUUUUUAUUCGGGAACAAUACAAUAAAUGAAGGUAUAUUGAAUACUAAAUCGAUAGAAAACAACCCAAAAUAACUUAUAAUUUUUUUUAACUUGUUGACUCGUUAAUUCGGUGAUAAACUCGAGAGUUUACUAAGUUUACUUAUAGUUUAUAGGAUCUAUCCAGAGUCUACUAAAAAAAGAGUUGCAUACAAAUCAACUCACACAUAGACUCGUAAACUCGUAAAAAUUAGUAAAUUAAUUCAAUAAUUUGAUAAUCAUCACCGCCAAGAUUGUGAAAGCUAUAGAGUACUUCCAUAUUAUAUGCAGAUCCACUUGGCUGCAAACAAAAGACCAACAACUAACAUACUUCCAUAUUCUAUUUUUUAUUUUUUUUCUGCCCUUCAUUUUGCCUUUGUAUCCUAAUUAAAUUAAAUACUAGUUAAAGAUAGUAAGAUGUUUUCAUUAUGAACCCCACCCCCCAUCUCAUUUUCCACCACAAAUGCAACUCGAAAGUUGUGACUUGUGAGAAGACAUUAUCUUAAGCUCUAUGCAUGCUCCUCAAUUACAAGACAUCAUCAUGCUUUGCCAAAACCUCAUAAUGCCACUCGAAAGUUGGGCUCACGAUAGAUUUGAUUUAAUUGAAUCAAGCUUUCACCUUUUUUAUUUAUAGAUCAAUCAUGAGAAUACGACUAUAUAAUAGCUUUUCUCUUUCCCUCUUUUCUGACCAUGAAAGUAUUGAACGAGUUUACAGCUACCAUGCAGCAACCAAGUUACAUCAUACAAGAUAUACAUGGUACGUUUUAAAAGCUUAAGAUUGAGUGGCUAUAAACAUGCACCUGUUUUACACAUCAAUGUUAAUGUUAAUUCUCAAAGGACCAAGUAUUCAAGUUGAAGAACCAGUUUGCGGGCAGAAUGGACUAGCUGGCUUCUUGCAUGCCAUAGUCUUAUUCAUGAAACUUUCAAACCAGAAACUGGUUAUGCUCUUCAAUUGACUAAAAGCACGAGGCUUUGCGCAUUAUGGAUGGAAAUUUUUCUGGCAUGGUUGGUCAACACCCAUCAUUCAGGAUAAACUGUUAAGCAGAAAGUCAAGGCCUCAUCUGGAUCUUAAAAUGUUUAUUGUUUGUAUACGGGCUUAUGAAAUAUUCACAUUUACAGGCUAAACAAGACUCCCUCUGUAUGAUGUUUUAGAAAGAAAAUAAAUUGUUCCAAAUUAGUUUUCUUUUUACAAAAUCAAUGAUGCAUUUUUUUUUUACUGCAAACCAAUGAUAAGAAAUGCUAAUUCCCUUGUGAGAAUCCAAGCAUUGCAAUGGAUUACGAAUGUAAUGCUUGCUUAUUCUUUCUUCGAUUUCCAAAUCCAAACACAUCAAGAAAUGCUAAUUUCCCUGUGAGUAGUAAGUUGCAUUUUUUUGUUUUUUGGUCAGAACAGAGUAAGUGGCAUUUGUUGACAAAACAAAUUGAAAAUGCAAGGUGGACUUCGGUUUCAUUCGUUGGCCCAUUCAACAGCAUCUUGCUAACACACCCAACUUCGCCAUUCCCACAACGAAAAAUCCAGGUAGAAAAUUUAUUAACUACCACAAAAAUAAUCACAACUUUUACCAAACCAGUAGUCUAGUACUAAUAUUUAUCACAAAAAAAAAAUGAAACUUAUUUUUAAAAGGUUUAAAUACGCAUUAUAAGAAGAAAUAUUUAAUAAUAUUUUUUAUCCCCCAUAAAUAUUUGAUUUUUGUAUUUGUUUCCUAAUAAAUCUUUACUUUAAGUUUAGUCCCUAAUAAAAUAUAAAAUUCAUUAAUUCAUCAGACAUUAAAAUAAAAUUAUUGUUUUAUUAUGAACUUAAUAUAAAAUAAAAAUUUAUUAGGAAGUAAACAGAAAAAUUGAAUACUUAUUAGGAAUCAAAAACAUAUUUAAACUUUUUAAAAAUAAUUAAAUUUCAAUUCAUUUAAGGUUCAAUUGAUAAGUAAUAAAUAGAAAUUAACGUUAUACAAAUUUUAUAUCCUCUCGUGAUUAUACUUUGUUAGGUAAUACUUCUGGUGUAUACAUAAAAAAAAUUCGUCUGUUUUGAUUCGGCUAAUUUUAAAGAAAAAAAAUUAUAAAUUUCUAAAAAUCUAAAUAAAAUAAAAGGUAAUGAAUAUGAGAUUUAUUCUAUUAUGUAAUACAAAAACUACAAAUAACAACAUAUCUUAUAAGAGAAAGUAUUUUAUAUGACACUACAAAUAUUAAAUCUAGACUGUAUAAUUAUAUAUGAAGGAUUAAAAUUUAAUGUCAAAAACUCAUAUAACUUUUUAAGUGAUUAUAUAACAUUAAAUCUUGACAAUUCAUAUUUAAUUAUAUAAUUUAUAUUUAAUUCUCUCACUUUCAUAUAAAAUAUCUUUUUCUUAUAUAAUAUGCCAUCAGCUGCCAAUAAUCAGAUUUUUUUUUUUGGAAAGGGACAAAUAUUAGAUUUACAACCAACUUAAAUAAACUUCUCCCUAAGUAUUUAUAACACAAGAAAAUAAAAAUGUAAAGUUAAUGUUAGCUGUUCAAUACACUUGAACUUUAUAGAAACUCAUUACAUUUAACUUUUUCAAAAAAUACGUAAGUUAAUGUUAGCUUUUCAAUACAAUUUACCUCUCUAUUUUGCUUUCUUACAAGUAUUUGUAGAGAAUUUUAUUCAGACUAAGUUUUUACUUAUUUUAUACCGGCUAAAAAAACUUGUUUGAUGGUUUUGAUAAAUAAAUACUUUUAAUAAUUUCUGAUAUUUUUUUAAGUAUAACUUGAAGUAAUAUUUUUUUAAAUGUUAAUUUCUAUCUUCUAAUUUUUUAUAUUUUUAUCUUUAAAAUAUUCAAUAAAUUUUCUUAUUAUCUUUUUUUAAAUAAAACAAGAUUUUUUAUUUAUUUUUUUUUCACUCAUUUACAUUAUUGCUCACAAAACUGAUAAUUAUAAACAUUAGAUUUUUUUUUGAAAUAUUUAUAGGAGACAAUUUAUUUUAACUAUGAUACUAAUUAACAUAAUAUAAUACGGGUAUAAUGUUUAUUUAACUACAUGUUUUUUUUUACUUUAUUUUAAACUUGAUUAAAAAUAUUUUAAGAUAUAGGAUAAGAGUAGUAGUUGCAUACAUAAUAUAAAAAUCUAAUGACUGAAAUUAAAAAUAUAAUUAAAAUAACUUAUAUAUAAAUAAAAAUUACAAGAGUUUAAAAUUAAUCAAAAAACUAAAAGUAUAAUAUCUAAAAAUAUAUUUUUAUUCAUAAAAUUAAAUUAAAAAUUAUAUAAAAAUAUCAUAUAAAUAUGUUUCUUUAGAUUAUUUUAUAUUUUUUAACUAUUCAAAUAUACAUAUUUACCAAACAUAUAUGAUUUAAUAAGUUGACUAAAUAAGUUUGAGCUACUGACUAAUUUUUCAUCCUCUAACUAACUUUUGAGAAUUAGUUUUAUCAAACAUAAGAAAAAUCUUAUCAACUUGCAAGCUUGAAGUUUUAACACAACCUUAUAUUGAAUAGCUAAACAUUUAAUUUAUAAAAGCUUAGUUCGUGUUAAGAACCUUUUGGAAAAUAAAGAUUAUUAAAAAAUAAGCAAAUGUUGUCCAAUGAAUCAAUUAUCUAGAUGGGAAAACCAAACAAAAAAUAUACUGAUAAAAUAGUAUACCAAAAUCAUAUUUUUAAUGUAAAAUUUGAUAGAUAUAAUCUUCAUGAAAAGAACUUUCUUUCAAUUCAAAAGUAAAUUUUGAGAUAAAAUUAUUUAAUUGAAAAUUAUUAAAUAAUGUAAUAUUAAUUAAUACAUGUUACACUAGUGUCAUUUGAUUCUACCCUAUAUUAUACAUAGGAAAAGAGUAAAUCUUAAUCAUCUAAAUAAUUAUAGUCACAGUCAACAUUCGAACAUUAUUUCCACCACAUCUCAUUAUUUACGCUCCCUAUAUAUAUGAAAAUAAGCACAUUUAAUAUUUCUAAAAUGACAUAGAUGCUGAUUUCACUCAAAAGCAUCAUCGUACGGAGAACCGGGAGCAAAAAAUUAAUCAAGAUCAUAUCGCGUUCAAUAAUGCCAGAGUAAGUUCUAUUGUUCAGGGAAAUCUUUUGAUAAGUAGAUCCCUAUUUUUUAAUGAUUUCUCACGAUCCAAACAAUUGGCUGAACCGGUGAAAUCAUUUCAUAGAAGUUCAUUGAUAUUAAAUAUAUAUAUCAGAUGAUGUGAGGUUCCGUUACUUGAUCUUUAGCAGUUUGAGCUUUCAAUAUCUUUUGCAAGGCAUCGUGACAUCUGCAAGUCGAACAUUUGACCAGAAGUAGUAACUCAAGUAAGAACUUAUCAAGCAUUUCAAGUUUAGAAACGAGGAAAGGAUACGAUGGUAAUUUGCCAUACCUCCAAGGAAGAUGGUCAAGGAACAUGGAUGGUGAAACAAUAAUAUCUUUGAAGCUUUCUCUAUUUGCUAUGUAAGCUCUAUAACAUUUUCCCCUCUCUAGCAUUCUCCACGAUGUCUUAAGAUCAGUUUGAGGUCUUUUCUUCUCCAGUACAACAUGAAUUACAAAACCAGGCAGAUACAGCUCUGGGGGAUCAUCUGCGGAUGGAUUUUCAGAAUUCGGAACAGUAUCUAUAAACUGAGACACUGGAUCAUGAUUUGAAUGUGCAUCUAUAGCAAAUGGAUUUGUAAAUUCGGCAUUGUCAAUUUCAAUGAUAUGAUCCCUUGCCCUAGUGUCAGACCAAAGUGAACAUUGUUCAUGCUCAUUAUUGAGGCAAUCUUCACUUCCAAAAGGAUUCAUAUAUUCACCAUAGUCAGCAGUAACAAGAUCCUUUCUAAUAGCCUGAACCUCUUGUUCGAUGCUACCUGCUGCAAUGAUGGAAGAACACACGAUUUCCAUCACUCAUAAUAGUGGUAAAAAUAUGUAUUCCCUACUAUGUUAUUAAAGAUGAGAAACCUUUAUUAUCAGUCUCACACUGGCUUCUGCGGAUCUGAUGGUUUAGAUCUUCCUGGAUGGCCCCUGAAUGAUACUCAGAUUCAUCCUCUGCCUUGGACUUAUUUCUCUGAUAUUUGCUUACAUCUAGAAACCUAUGGGCAAGUUUGAAAAUCAUGGCACUAUCUGCUUUAGGAUCUUGCGAUAGUGAUGUGAUUGCAGCUGCCCUUAGCCGCAUAAUGGAUCCAAUUGAAAGGCGUGAUGAAAAUUCAUUUCCAAAUAUAAUGCUGCAUCAAUGAAAGCAAGCAGAAACUGAAAAUGUUACCAAAGAGAAUCAGCUAUAAUCAAACUUUUUACUAGUACAAUUACCUUGUAACAAAUUCUGAACAUGCAUUUGCCACAACUAAAUCCAGACAUGGGAGUGGCCCAUAUGAGUAAACAUGCAGAUUAGGGUAGCGGUUAUAAAGCUGUGGAAAAGCUCAGCAAUUUAUUUAAAAAUCAAAUCAAAUGCUUAAAAGACUGCAGCAUGAAAGAACGAAAAAAAAAAACAUGAAAAUGGACGAAAAGUUCUUUUUAAGUGCUGAAUAAAUGUUCAAAACUUGAAGGAAAUGUUUGCAGAUGAAUUUAUUAAAUAAUCUCUCGUUUAUGAUUUUUUUUAGCCCUUCAAUCAUUUUCAAUGCUUAAUUGAGUUUUUAAACAGCCCCUUAAUCUGAUCUAACUUGAGUACUACUUAAAAUAUGCUAACAAAAAUCUUAGGAAGUGCAAGGUACUAAGGGAUCCUUCAAUCCAAGUACAACAAAGCCUUAUCCCACAUGGAUCAUGCAACACCAUUCAUCAUGGUUAAAAACCUAAGUUUCAGGAAUAUUAUUUAGCCUGACAUCUCCUUUGACAAUUUCCACCAAUGUCCUUUCGGUCUCUCUCUCCUUCAAUCCAAUGUUGUUAAUGGCGGAUGGCGGUUCAUGGCGGAAAGUAAAAAAUCCGCCAUAAAAAUAUGGCGGAUGGCGUAGCGGAAAAUGGCGGAUGUCAUGGCGGACACAAAAAAAAAAAAAAACAUAUAUAUAAACUCAUUGAAAUUGAAAAAAACAAAGGAUUGCAUUCAAAUAAACUAAAAAAGUUUCAUGAGUUCAUACAAUAAUCAAGUACCAACACCAAAUAAACUCAUUAAAGAGUUCAAAAAAGUUGUAGACAGAAAAAUGGGGGGUGUCAAAUAGCAAAAGGAAAAAAAAAGUUGUAGACAGAAAAAUGGGGGGUGUCAAAUAGCAAAAGGAAAAAAAAAAAGCUGUAGACAGAAAAAUGGGGGGUGUCAAACAGCAAAAAGCCCCAAAAAAAAAAAAGAAACAGAUCAGCUGACCCGCGUCUUCUUCCUUCCUCUUCUUCGUCUUCUUCAAACGCGAGACAGAAAAAUGGGGGGUGUCGCGCGUUGCCGGGGCUCGUCGACGGAGGUCGUCGGCGCCGUUCGUGCGUUGCGGGCCUCGUCGCGGCGGCGGCUGGGUGCGGCGGGGAGGGGGUGGUGUCGCGGCGGCGGCUGGGAGCGGCGGGGUUCGGGAGGGACGCAGGCAGGUUCGGGAGGGAAUGGAAGCUGUUGGAGGGACGGCUAGGUGUUCUGAACGCAAGCUGUGGAGGGUUUUUAAUUUAAUGAAUAACCGGGUAGGGUUGGGUCGGGUCGGCCCAACUCCUACCGCGGACAAAAGCCGAAGAUUUCCGCCAUUUCCGCCAUUUCCGCCAUCCCGCCACGACCGCCAUGGCUAUGGCGGCCGCCAUGGCGCCGCCAUCCCAAACCCGCCACGCCACCGCUAUUCGGUGGCGUUUUUUCGCAAACCCGCCAUGGAAAACCGCCAUGGCGCCGCCAUGGCCGCCAUUUAACAACACUGCUUCAAUCCAAACGCACCACUAAUUAAAUUGCAUAUGUUAACCAAAAAUUGAAUUAAGACAAAAUCUUCUAUCCAAUUUCCUUUAUUAAUUUUUGGACAAAAAUACAUGAGUUGAGACAAAAGGAAUGCUUUGUUUUCUUUUACAUACUCACGAGGUUAAUUAGCUUGUAAGUUCUACCUGAUUUAUAGCUUUCACCUUAGAUUUUUGGCUAAGAAAUUAAAAACCCAAUACAAUUGGGAUGUAUAUAUUUCCAACAUUGCACAUAUAUUUUGUUGAGUCCAAUCUCUCCGAUGGGUACUGGUUUUAGUUUUAAUGAUAGCAAUCAAUAUUUUGUAAAGGCCACAAUUCAAUCCACUUCUUGUGACCUCAAGCCAGCUUCAUAUUUGCAUCUACAAUCUGAAUUUUCUAAGGAAGCAAGGAAUAUUUUUUGUGUGUGUAUAUAUGUAUAUUUUUCAGAAUAGCCUUUCAAUGAAUACCUAGUUCUUGAUGCAAUCAAAAUAGCAAAUCAUGUUUACUAACGAAGAUAGAUCAGUAACUAAAUAAUCCUAUUUAAGUGAGAAAUGUCAUACUUGCAGUCCAAGCAAUGCAGCUAUAGCACCCCCAAGUGAAUGCCCAACUAUGCGGACAUUAUACCCAAAGCAUUCACAACCAAAUCCCAGUAAUUUAGAAAGAAGUCCAUAGGAUUCCGAGUCUGCAUUUCCACUUCGAAAAACAAUUGUUGUCAAAAAUGAAGUUUAUGUAAUGAAGUCAAAUGUUUUUAAAUUAAAUACAAUUUAAGAUUUAUUUUGGGAAUUGAUAAAAAGUAAGAUGGUUUACUUAAUUAUAUAACCAAUCAAUGGUGACUAUUUCACUUCACAGUAACCAAAGUGUUUAUCAUAGAAAGCAGGAAAGAGGAAGAAGAAACAGUUUGAUAGGACCAACUCUACAGAAGAAAGAACCAUCACUAUAAAAAAACUGAAGUAUUUCUUACCAGGCCCUUCAGGAUUUCCUUCAAUCUGCAUAAAAAGCUCUCGUGCAGCCUCAACUAUGCCUGAAUGCCCAUAGUGGGGGAAUGAUGAAGUCACAUUUUUCUUUAUAUUAGAAUGAAUGUAGUUGCAACUGCAAACCAGAACAUAAAAUAUUGACGCGAGGAACCAGAAUAUUGUGUUGGAACAUAUAAAGGAGCAAUACAGUUUGGUUCAUAUAAAUAAUUACACAUUGAACUGAAACUGUAAGAUAUAUAGAAGAGAUGCUUUCUGCAGAUAUACAUAACUCAAUAGGAACGUCAUUACUUAUUAUCCUUUGUUUAAAAACAUAGUUGAUAAUCAUGCAGCAUAAAAUGUCAUAAUUCAACUUCCAGGUUAUGUAUGUGACAGUGACCACUUCACAGAGUCAUUUGAAAACUGAUCUGACUACAAUACCAGAGAAUAUGCAGUUAUGCUAAAAUUUAGAAGUUCAAAUUGUAACAUAACAUAUUGAGAAUCGUUUAGUGCUUUGUGUAUUUUUCAAUCAGACUCAGAACAGUGUACUUGAACAGAUACAAAUAUUGUCCUCCAGUAUUCUCCUGUUCAAUAGUCUUGUAAUUUGUGAUGUUAGCAAGGUUGUCAAACUCGAGAGUCUAUAUAGACUUGUGAGAGCUUGGUAUAGUCGAAUCGUAAAUUUGUAAAAGUAUACUUCAUAUAAACAAUAAAAUAUGUAUAAAAAAUGAAGCUAUAUGCAACCAAGCCUUAAAAGAAUAGGCUGUUAAGUUGAUGGAGAAGAGAGGAGUAUUUGAGUUGUAGUUUAUGUGAUUGAUAGUCUUCUUCAAAGGCAAGAAAUUUUACAGAACCCACAUGACACUACUAUGCAUGUGAGUUUUUAAAUAGCCUAAGGCAACCUGCUAGUCCAAAACCAAAACGCCACACCUGACCAGAUCUUCCUAUUAAGCCCAAAACCACAGUGCAGAGAUGUGACCCGAUCCACACAUGGCCCCAGGUACUUUUUUCUUCCAGAACUGAUACCCUAAACGCCGCCUUCUUUCCAUGACCCACCCACCAAAUUCAACCUCGUUGGUAACUGAUGAUGCAACACCCACGAUGCAAUGCAACACCCAAGAUGCAAUGCAAACCAGUGACAUGGAAGGGCAGCCUUUGUUUCUGGAUCAAGACGCAAAAUGGAAUGAGGAUUUGUUGGACCCAAAACACACAAAAACACCAAAACAUGUGUUUUGGGUUAAUUUUUUUUAUCCAGAAAACUUGCUGACUCGGUCUUAAACUUGCGAGUAAGCACGAGUUUGCCCCAAGUCUGCCAAAAAAUGAGUUAACUCGCACUGUGCAUGUGGACUCGUAUACUCAGAUGAGUUAACAAGUUAACUCAGUUUGAUACCCAUGGAUGUUAGUAUAAAUGCAACAAUCACAAAAUUCCAACACAAUUUUGCAUUCCUACUCAGUGGGUUUUCUCUCUUUCUCACUCAUUCUCCACACUUACUAUUCCUAUAAAAUAAUAGAAUAUUCAACCAUCAAUUGACAUUAUCUAUUACAACUCCAAUCUAAAAUAGCUCAAGGCUUGGAAUAAUCCUAGCAUCCCUAUACAUGCACUGUUCAACAACACGGAACAUUUGACAACAAAGUGAUCAUUUUACAAUCAUAGAUACCAAGAACAAGAUCCAAAUAUCGAUGUGGAAAAACUGAUGUUAAUAACAAAAUUGAAAGCAAUAGUGAUUGGAUUCUAUCAUCCCUCUCAGCUUUUCUAGGGAAAUCUCGCAUGUAUAUUCAAUGUAUGUGUUACGAGCUGUAGGUAUUACUAUCUAUUACAAUGUUUACAACUUGUGUGAAUUUUAUAAUUGAAAUAAUUGGGAAUUCUGGGCAACUUUUUGCCACCUCCACCUUAGAGUUAUCUAUCUGUUAGUCAAAGUAAUCAAAGGGAUGAGCUGUAGGUAUUAGUAGAUUACAAUGUUUACAACUCGUGUGAAUUUUAAAAAUAAAUUAAUUGGGAAUUCUUAGUAACUUUUCACCUCCACCCUAGAGUUAUCUAUCUGUAUGUGAAAGUCGUUAAAGGGAUGAAAAGAGGAAGAAUGAAAAAUACUUUAUCAAACCAGCCAGGUCAUCCACAGACAGGGUGCAUUCCUUGCAUAACCCAUCAGUUAUUAGGUCCUCUGGGGUUUCAGUUCCACGUAUAGCAAUUACCACAGAUUGAAGUUGAUGUAGAACCACAAUAAAAUAUGCAGCUUCACACUUGACCUGGAAUGGGUAUCAAAAAGAACUUUAUAAAUAAUUAAAUAUAAAUUAAGCCAGUAUAAUAUAAAAACAGAAUAUUCAUGAUAUCAUACAUAAAUUAAGUUUAUUAUCCUCUUAAGUUGGAUAGAACUGAGUUUCCCCACAUUUUAAAAUUAAAAAAUUAUGAUCAUUUGGAAUCAAAAUACCAGGACAUAUAUGGUUAUAUACAGAUUAGUCCAAAUGUAAAAAAGGUGGCAGACAGUCAAUUUGCAUGAUAUGGGAAAGUAGCCCCCUGAACAAACCAAAAUAUAGACAAGUUUAUAAAUAUUUCUAUCCUUACCAGUUCAUUUGUUAUGUUCAUAUUUAUCAAAUUAGUAUAUUAAAAAAUAAAAAUCCACUUUUCAAAGAAACAGUGAAUUCUAUAGAUGAGGUAUCACAAGCCUAAUGAGCAAGCUUUUCUUAAAUUAAGAUUGCAAAAGAAGAUGAAGUCUGCUCUGAAAAGCCACACUCAAACAUAUUUAUUUUACAAACUUAGAGAGAUUAGAGGAGCAAUCAUUUUCUCAUAAACUAUUUACUAGAUAUUUAGAUGUAAGAAAGAUAAAUUACAAAAAAUAAAAACAUAUACUAUAUCCUGCUUAGCACACGCACACAAAAGAGCACGCUGGCUUCAAUAUCUAUUAAGGGAAACAGCCUUACAAGUUACAAAGAGCAUGGGCUAAAUACCAAAUAGAAGCCAUAAUUUGCUCAACCCCAAUGUCUUCCCUUCCUUGAUUUUAACAAAAAAAAAAAAAAAAAACUUAAGGCUAAACAAAAGAAUCAUACUAUUGCUGGUUAGUGACAUCUUCCUUUUGUUUAUUAUGAGUGUAGUUUGUUAUUGAUGACAUGCUCCCUUCAAUAAAAUUUAAACAUAAAUGGUGGCAACAUCUUUUUAGUCCUCCAAAUUCAAAGUUGUUUUUUUAGUCCUUGAAAUCCUCAAAAUACUAUUUUUAGUCCUUCUGCACAGCACGAGUCAAACAUGGAAUAAAAAAUUCGCAAUUUGUGACAAUUUUUUACCCCCAAAAUCUAAUUUUCUAUUUUAUAUUUUAAAGUACACUUCUGGUGGUUAAAAACUAUCAUAAUCAAGUCAGUAACCCCUCUUCAUUUGUGUGAAACUUAGUGAGCUUUUAUACAGCAUUUUAUUAUUUUGCAUUUUUGUAUGGUAAACCUGUGUCUCCUAUGACCAAAGCAUUGUAGAGAACAUUUGGAUAUUUAAAUUUUCUAACCUGGCUGACUCGCCCAUGUCUAAGCGCUUCUGGAGGCAAAUUGACGUACUUUAGAAAGGCUGCAGCAUGACCUCGCCACCAGUUAUCACCAUCCAGUACAGGUCGUCUAAGAAGAUGUGAAAUAGGAACAUAAAUCAUAUUGUGCAUAGAUUUACUAAACCAAAAUAGUACAAAAUAAUAAGUUUUCUUUUCUUAAGAUGAAAGAAAUAUCAACACAGAGAAGAAAAAAGUUACAAAGAUGGGGGAAAGUCCAAAAGUAUCAUUUUAGAGACACUGACUGGAAAGGAAAAAGUGGAGGAUCAAUCAAACCAGAGACAGUAGAGCCCUCCAAGCAUGUAGCAUAUCUUGAAUAAGCAAUAUACAAAUUGGAGUUUAUAGAUCAUUUCAAAGUUAACAAGUAUCAAGACCUCCUUGACCACAAAGGUGUAAUUAAUAUUCAACCAAAUAACACGCAAAUUAAAAGGUUCAGGCCACUGAGAAAGUGAGAAUUCAAUUAAACAGGCCAUAAAAUUGAAUAUCCAACAAAAUGCCACCUGUUUCGUGUCCAAGGAGACAAAAUCCCUUGUCUAUACAGCCAUGCACAAGGAAAUACAAAUGGAUUUCGUCCAACAUCAAGCAAUGGACCCUGCAUCAUUGAAUGCAAGAUAAAUGGUCAAAGCAAGUUAGUAAAAACAAAACAUUAAUUUGGAAUAAGUUUAUGAUAGUAAUACCGUGUACGCAGCUUCAGCAAAUUUAUGAAGAGCUUCAGCCUCCCUAAUUUUCAUCUCUGGUGCUUCCAUGGAUUCUUCAUAGGAUUCGGUAGAGUUUCCAUGGCUUUGAAGUAAAGCUAAAGCUGAACACAAAAAAAUUCAAUGUCAUAAACUAGAAAGAGGUAACACGAAGGUGAAGUUGAAUUGGUUGAGGCCAUAUUCCUAACGGUGAGGUGAACAGUAUCGCAAUAAUAUGGUCCAAGUCAGAGAUGAGAAAUUUGAAGAAACCUGCCAAGAGUUCCAUAUGGCCGGUUCCGGAGGCGCGAUAAGCAACAAGAUCAGCUAAUAAUCGUGCAACUGAAUAGACUUCAUCUUCUUCGGAGGUAGUCCUGCGUUAGUGGAUUGAUUAAAUAAAGGGGCAGAGGUGAGAGUGAGGUGAGGUGAGGUGAGGUGAGGAGAGGUGGUAUACAAGUAUUGGAGGCGGCCUAGACAACACAAGGUCUCACGAAUGCCAUGAUCGAAGACCUCGCUGUAGUGGCAUUUCCAAGCGUGAUCAUGAGUUUCAUAGAAAGACCUCCAUUUGAUAAUAUCUGAUCCGGUGAAGCACUGGAGAACGGCAACGGAAGAGACGAGGAUGAUGAAUAUAGAUACGGGCGUGUGGUUCCAUUUGGAUUCUGCAAUGGUAGAGAAAGAUUGAUUGAAAGAAUAAAAGUAUUAAUGAGAGUUGCAAAAGUGAGGUAGGUGGCGUACCUAAAAGACAGUGGUGAUUAGAAUGAGAGGUGGAGAAAUGGUGGGAAGAGGUGAGGACAAGGUAAGCAGCAGAGAGAAAUUGAAGCACGAUGAGGACAGCGGAACAUCGACUCAAGCAGAGCCAUUUCUUAUACAUGGCCUGACGAAGGAAUGAGAAUUGAAUGAAAAAAGGAAAUGUAAGAAGAGGCAUAAAGAAAGUCCCUUACCCUUCGGCGGAGGCGUAUAAGGAGAUCGGAGGAGGAGUGUUGAAGGAUGAGGGUGGCAGCGGCUUGUUGGGCGGAAGCGGUAAGAAUCAUGAGCAGAACCCUAAGCAAAGCGGCGAAGGAAACCAGGACGAAGGGAAGCAAGAAGGAGGCAUGACAGAGGCGGAAAGUGAGCAAGAUGAGGAAGGCGCCCAUGAGGGCAACCCCGACGUUCCAAAGUCCUACAAGCAAGCUCAUCCAUCUCACCCUUCUCAUACUCAUCAUUAUCACCAAUUUCACAUUCUUCACUCCCACUCAUUCUUCUAUUCACAAUGCAAAUGUUUACAUUUUUUAUAUAUCAAAAAUAUGAUUUCGCAUAUUUUUAUUGGAUUGAGAUGACUCUCAUUUCUUUUCUUUUCUAUUUAUUUGCAUUUAUUUAUUCCACACAUUAGUCAUAUGAACACCGGUACAUGCAUCAUUCAAUUUCUUAAACCAUUAGUGCAACUUUCAAUUGUGUUUGAUUUAGAAUAGGGAAACAAAAUAUUAUUUUAAUUAAAGUAAAGUGUAAAAAUUAUAAAUUUUAUAUGAGACUCACAAGUUUUUCUCUUUAAAAAUUAAUAAAUAUUUUUAUUCAUGUAUUUAUUUUAUUUUAUUUUUUGGUCAGAGCAACUUGAAUAUUUUUUCGUCAUGUAUUUAUUUUAUUCAUGUAAAAAUUAAUAAAUAUUUUUUCGUCCUUGUGGGCAACUUGAAUAUUUUUUUUGAAAGAUACUUCAGUGGAACAAUUCUCGUGACUUUUAAAAGUAAUUUUUUUUUCAUUUUUUAUAGCAUUACAUUUUAUUAUUUUAAAAAAAAUUUGACUUUUGUUUACUUUAUAAUUUUAAAGAGUGUCUUAAAUAGAUUUCACAAUUUAUCUCACACCUUUUUAUUUUAUUCUUCUUCUCUAUUUUGGUUAAAUAUGAUUUUAUGUUAACUUUAUUUACAUGGCAUAUUUGUACAAGAAAAUUGUUAAAUGAGGUUCAAAAUGAAAACAGAGAGAGUUUUUUUUUUUUUUUUCUAGAAACAAGAUAUUUCAUCACCAAAAGUCGUAAAAGUAACCCUUAAAAUGUAAAAAUCACCAAAAUAGGUUUUUUUUUCUCAUACACACAAUUCCUAUCAAUAUGAAAAAAAUUCAAUCAUCUACCAGUUAGGUUGGAUCUUGCUGGUAGAAAAGAAAUAGAGUUGUAAAUAGUAACCAAUGAUAUAUUUGAGCUGUUUUUCAACCAUAUAUAAUUAAUAUUACGAUUUCUCUUUGAAGUUAAUAUUCUGUUAGCAAUUCUGGUUAGAUAUGCCUCGAGAGUUAGUUUAUUUAAAUUAAAGUUUAAUAGAAUUAUUGUUACCUUAAUUAUAAAUAAUUUAAUGUGUGACUUUUGAGUUAAUUAUCACAACAAUAAUAAAUCUUUAGUCUUAUUAAAUGAUUGGUAUUUUAUAAAUAAUUUAAUUAAGUAAGAUAUAAUAAUGGAAAUUUGAUUACAUUUGAAAUAAAAAAAAAAUAAAGGAGUUUUAUUUUAUAUGUUGAAGACUAAAGAAAAUAAUGUUUAAUACUACCCUCACAAAUUACAUAUUCAAUAUAAAACACCCUCAUUUAAUAUAUAUUACGAGAGUAGUCAUGAAAUAGAUGAUAAUGAGUUGAUGGAGUAUGGUUGGAAGGUGAAAGUUGGGAAGGUGUCUAUGAGAAUGCAAAGGGGGGAAAAAAGGAAAAGAUACUUUGUAUGAAGAGAGGGAAAGAGAGAAAAAUAGAAGUAUAAUGGGUGAUAGAAGAAGAUUAAAAAAUAUGAGGCAAGGGGGAGGGGAAGGAAAAGAUUCUGGUUCUUGGUGAGUGGAGUAGUUUAGAAAAGGGAAACGGGGGGCGUGAUACCAUGAACGGGGUCAAGGUUGCCAAUUGUGAUAAAAGUGGCACGUGACCCAAACCCAAGUGGCACUGACUCAUCCCAUAAAAUAUCAUACAAGUGGCAUUGCAUCAACUUGCUCUUUUUAUUAUUUAGUAGUCCCAUUUGCACCACCACCACCACCACCACCCACUACUACUAACUCCAAUCUCCCUAUCCAUGUAUCCCUCUUCCUCUUCCUCCUCCUCCUCUUCCUCUCAGUCCAUGACCCAAGCUGGCCUCACUCGCUACGGUUCCGCCCCCGGUUCUCUUCUCACCAGCACGGUUGAUUCUCUUAUUGGUGGAUCCCGUCCCAGUCCCUACUUUUCCGGAGAGUCUUCUGAGUCUCCCUGCAAAGAGCAAAGAUCUUUCCACAACCACCCCCCCUCCUUCGCUUCCUCCUUGCUCCGCCAGAAAAGCUCUCCCGCCGGCUUCCUUUCCCAUCUCUCCAAUCACCAUGGUACCUUUCUUCCUUCCUUUUUUCUCCCCCCUCUUUCCUCUCUUCUAUUCUAUCCUCUUACCUUUUUCCUUUUUUAGGUGUGGGUUUCACCAUCACCCCCGGUGGUUUAUCAAAUUCAAAUUCAAAUUCAAAUUGUUCUCUCUUGAAGUCUCAACUCAGCUUCACCCACGAAUCUCUUUCCAACACUGUUAAUGUUGAUCCCUCCAGCACCACCUUCGGAAUGGAUCCCUGGGACAACAAUUCCAUCGCCUUUUCUGCAACUUCAACCAAGCGCUCCAAAACCAACACCAAUGAUCCUGACAUUUUACAUUCCCUGAAUUCGGCCUUGGAAUCACAGUUCAAUCUUCCACAUACAAGUCUGGAAAUGUCAACCGUGGACAAGCUAUUGCACAUUCCUGAAGAUUCUGUCCCUUGUAAAAUCCGUGCUAAGCGAGGUUGUGCUACUCAUCCCCGUAGCAUUGCCGAGCGGGAGAGAAGAACAAGGAUCAGUGGCAAGCUCAAGAAAUUACAGGACCUUGUACCCAAUAUGGAUAAGGUUUUUCUAUUUCUCCCUCCUUCUUAUGUCUCUCUCUCUCUCACUCUCUCACUCAUGUUCUUGUCUUUAAUUCUAUUGUAGCAAACAAGCUAUGCAGACAUGCUCGAUUUGGCCGUUCAACACAUUAAAGGUCUUCAAACUCAGGUUCAGGUCUGUAUAACUACUUAUUCCAUUCAUCCUCUACUACUAUUAAUUACAAGAAAGCUCGCUGUUGUUUGUAUAUACUCUAAUUUGCUCAUCACUCUCUAAAAUAUGAUUUUCUUGUUUAAUACAUUCAAUUAAGAUUGCCAUUUGUUACAUUGCAUCCCUGUUUUGGAUAGAGAGUGAUAUGUCGUUCAUCACCAAUUUCAUCACAUGUCUCCACCAAUUACAAGCUUUUACAACUUCUUUUUUCCCUUUAUCUAUUUCCUUCACAAGGGAAAUGAUACUCAUACACCAAGGUACAUAACAAUUCAUACUAACAAGCAGAUCCAAAUCCUUCCAAAUUAUAAAAAAUAAAAUUCGUGGAUUUAAAAUUAUAUAAAUAAAAUAAAAUAAAAUAUAAAAAUAUAAGAUUUUAUUUACAAAUUUGAUAAAUUUAAAAUAAUGAGGGGAUGCAAGUGUACACCCUCACAUGGCUGUAGGUCCGCCUCCUCUAACAAGAGGAAGAUGGAUAACUAGAUAAGAGAUGUGAUGCAGAGAGACACGACAGAGAAAAACUGAGUCUUUAAAAGAAAAAUGUUAUGUGGACACCCAUUGUGUUAUUUAACACCUAGAGAGAGGAAAAAAUAUAUCUAACUUGUUCUCUUACUCUUCAUUCCUCAAUUAUUUACGUCACUAAAACAUGUUAUGGUUAAGACCUUGACUCUAGUCCAGUUCUGUUCGUCAUCUGUAGUAUUAUAGUGAAUUUUACAUAUCUUCAAGGAUAAAAAUUACAGAGGAUCAAUCGAAGCAUCACUUAAUUUUCAUUACAUCCAUUAAUCUUGCCUACGAUUUUUUUUUAUUUUUUUUUUUUGCUUUGCCCUCUUUCAGAAGCUUCACAAAGAAAUGGAGAAUUGCACUUGCGGAUGCAAACAAAGCAAAUAACUUCUUUUUUUUACGAGAUUCUAUAGCAACGUGCAUAGAAGUCAAGGUUUUGAUGGCAAAGAUUGAAAACUGAUUUUGUACCGAUCUACUUAAAUGAAUAAUGAAGGAACUGAAACUUUGUAGGUUGUCAAUGCUACAAUUGUACAGUGUAUGUUGUAAUAUGGUAGUCUAGAAAAAUUUCUUCGUUUUCUUCAAGAAUUGGCUUUCAAAGUCCAGGUUGAUUUUCUAUUCAGAUUGUUUAUUUUCUUGUUUGGGUAAGUAUGGUACAAUGAAAGACUAAUUUUUGGAAUCAGAACCAGAAUAGAAGUGAGAAUGGGGUGAAUUGAAAUCUAUUUUGUUUUAUUUCAAUCUAUUUUUAUGUUCGGUGAAUUACUGUGGAAGCUUAUAACCAAUGAAAAUGUGUACAUUUUUGCCUGAAAAAAAAAAACGUGAUUGAGUUAAUUUCAUAUUGCUAGCAAUGACUAUUUUUGUCUCUGAUAAAAAGCUUCGAAUAAAAUUAUUACAUGGAUGCGUUUUUAAAGUUUUGAAAGGUAACAACUUCUGUGGAAUCUUUAUGUUUGUAAGUGGAAUUACAUGGAUGUGUUUUUAAAGAGUUAUAACUUAUGAAUGUAAAUUCUAUUUCUUUUAUAAAAUGAUUACAGUAUAUGUUAGGUACUAGGACAAAGGGAAGGCCUUGUAUUAUUCGAGAAGAAGGUAAAACUCCUAUUUUAAACUACUGAAAAUUAAGUGCAAAUUUCUCUUCUUCUCAUUUCCACUAGUGAUAGCUUAUUUAUAGAUGAGCACAUUUUGGAUAAUGGACCCACAUGGUCAGCUAGCACUACACAUCUAACAAACUAGCACUAAAAAGGUUACCAUGGAAAUGGAAAGGUGGAUAAGAGAUAAUAACAAACUGAUAUGCAAUAGUAACAGAAUGAUAUGCAGAGGAUAUUCUUCACUUAGUGGAUUCACAUGUAGUCACGUAGGUGAGUGACCCUCUUGGUUUUGUGGCCGGUGAGGUGUGCUGCAGCUAGUGUUGCUAACAGUAUACUUAUACUAGUUCCACUGGGUAUAUAUUAAAGUUGUUCUUUCUAUAUUCCUUCUUUAAAAACUUUCUGAAUCCAUUCAUGAUGGUACUAUCAUCAACUAUGCAAACAUGAAUGCAAUCAUUUUUGUGAAAAUGGAGGUGGAAUACACCUGAAUUAUAAAUCUUUGACAAUAACUUUAUUUCUUUAGGUAUGUUUUUAGUCCUUCAUAAAUUAAUGAAUUUUGUAUUUGAUCCCUUAUAAAAAAAAAUUAUUAUUAGUAAGGAUUAAAAUAAAAUUAGUUAAUUUAUUAGGAAAUAAACAUUAAAUUCUUUAAUUUAUUUGGGACUAAAACAAAAAUAUUAUUUUAUGAAAAACUCAAUACAAAACAAAAAAUUUCUUAAAGAAUAAAAAUAAAUAUUAAAUAUUUAUUAAAAAUAAAAGUAUAUUUAAUUAUUUAUUUUGAAUAUUAUGAUUACUGCUAGGCUAGCUGCCUAUUGUUCAAAAAACAUACAAGGGCAUUUUACAUGGUAAAAGGCAAUAAGUGUUAAAUGAUGAAGAUGACGAUUUUGGAAGAUACAUAUAUAAGGCAUGAUUAUAUAUAUAAAACUCAUUCAAAGAUGGUCUUCAAGGAGCUUUGUUUGGUCUUGCCCCCCAUGUUAUUUUGUUUCAUAUAUUUUGGCUCUCUGGUUGUGAUGGUGCCAACCUGCUCGUUGGAAUGGAACCUGAUACGGCAACAUACUAGGCUUCUCGGUAUCAUAACUAGCAAGAGAGCAACUCAGAAACAUAGAGAGUGAGGAAGAAGAAGUGUGUUUGAGUUGAGAUGUUAAUUUGAGUUUUUUUAUUUUAUACAUGUUAAUUUGAGUGUGUUUAAUCAAUUGAUAAUGAUGUUUUAGUGAUGUAUGCUGUAGUUUUGACCGUGUGAGCUAGUGUUUGAAAUAAUGAUGGCUUAGUGAUGGCUUUUCUAAUUAUCUUCGAUGACAUGACUAUUGUUUGAUUCAUCAAGUGAACUUUCAAGUUUGAAGUGGCGUACUCAAAAUAAAGUUGUUAAUUUAAUUAAUAUUAUAGUCUGUGGAUAUUGUAUAAAAUAAAAUUUUAUUUUAUAUAAUUAAAAUUUAUAAUUUGUAUUAAAUAAAUAUUUCUAUAUAUAUAAUAAAUAAUAUUUGUUAACAUAGUUGUGGUAUUUUUUUAAUUACUGAUAUAUAAUUUCUUUUAAAAAAUAUUCCCUUAGCAUUAAGGAUGUAGAAAAUGAUAGAUCAAAAUAAAUAAGAAAUUAAAUUAAAUUAUGAGAGAAAAAAUAUAUAUAUAUAAACAUUAAACUCUUAAAUUAUUUCAUUGAUAUUAAAAAAAUGAUAUAUUAUAUAGCUUGUUAAACUAUUCACUUUUUAAAAACAUCAUAUACCACAUGUAUGUUAUAUAUAUAUAUAUAUAUAUAUACGUGUAAAAAGACUAUCUGUUUUCUUAAGUUUUCACUCUCUCCACUCUUCCUCACAUUUACAAUUAGUUGAAUAGUUUAAUUAAUAAAAAGUAAUUUAAUUAAUGAUCAACAAUCCAAAGCGAUCCGGAUUAAGUAUCAAUUAUCUUCACAGGAAAAAGGACUAGAGGUUCUUGAAAAAUUUACAUAAAUGUAGCAUUAUUUUAAGUAAUUAAAAUCAUAUGAAAAAAAUAAGUUAAGAGCUAAUAAUAUAGCAAUGUUAUAUUAUUAUUUAAUUAUAAAUCAUUUAUGUAUAAUAAACUUGUUCACUUAUAUAAUAAUUAACUUUUUUAAAAACUAUGUCAACAAUAACUUUUUUAUUGAUUAAGCAUUUAAAAGUUAUAUAUGACUAUUAAACUCAAACAUAUAUCUAACUCAUAUUCUUAAAUCUUAUGUGAAAAACUAUGAAAAUAGAGUUAAAAGUGAAAUUGUAUCAGCAUAAAAAAAAUGAAAUUGUAUUGUGCCGUCAAAAGAUUUGUGGUCACUAUGGGAAUGAAAUUUGACAGGCAACGUAGGUAUCUAAACAUAGGUUAUACUCAUCGCCCCACCUAACUAAUUAUGGUGUAUUUAAUUUUACUUCACUAUGCUUCUUAAUUAUCUUAGAUCCUCUAUAAAAGAACCGCAAUUUUAGACAAGAGAACUUCAUAUACAUACCAUACGUAUUAGAAAUCGCAGACCUAAUAAAUUUUGGCCCCCCGUAGCUAUACACAAAGUAAGAACUUCAUCACGCAAAAUAACACACCUUGCCCAGUUAUUUCUGCUUGCUGUAAGCUCUCAAUUUACCCAAAUAACACAAGAUAAUAGUCGGCGUUCAGCUAAUUACCAGCCAAAUCUCUGGAAUUUUGAAUUAUUAGUUAGAAUAUAUUAAUUAACAAGCUAUGUUAUUGGUAUAAUUUAAAUCAAUUUUUAAUUAAAAUGUAUACGUUUACUUUUUAGUUAGAAUACCUUAGUAAAUUAUAAUAAUUAGUGUAUUAACUUUAAAAUAAUUGCUAAUUUGUUACCAUAUUUUAACUCAAAAAUAAAUUAUUGUACAUUAGCGCAUAUAUAUAUAUUCCAGUUUUCUUGUUUUUUAGUUUUAAGAGAUCAUUUAGUUUGGUAAUUUUUUAUUUUCACUUUUAAUUAUAUAUAAAAAAUGUUAUUUAUUCUUAUUUUUUUCCAUUUUCAAAAGUUUACAUAGAAACAGUUAAAAAAAUAUUUUUAUUAUUUUCCAUUUUCAUUAGUUUUUAUCAUUUUUUAUACAAACUUUUCUUUCAAAAAAAUAAUGUGACUUUUUAAUAAUUAAUUAAAAGUGAGCAUUCCUCAAAUCAAACGGUAUCUAUCUUCAUGUAAGUUCUUUCAAGAGAAAUUUUUAAAAAACAAAAAAAAAAAAUACCUUUCGCGUACAAUGAUAGAAAUAAAUAUGUAAAUCAUGAUUAUUUUUUUUUACAAAUAUGAAAAUAAAUAUUUAAAUUAAGAUUUGGAUGGCAAUUUUCACCUAGGAUAAACUUUAAGGUUAGGAUUUAUGAAAACUAUUUAAAUUCUCCACGGUUAAUUAAGAUGGCCUUAAUAAGUUAUAUUGUUCUUUUAUAAGAUAAUAUUGUUCUUAUUGCCUAAUCACAGGUGAAAAUGCUGGAAAAGAGAGCAUCAAAAUUGGAGGAGGAGGUUUGUGAGAUGAUCAACAGAGCAGAGAAAGAACCAUUAAGCUUAUUGGAAUUGAUCGACAAUGUCCAGCGUCUGGGAUUGACGUACAAGUUUGAGAAAGACAUAAUCAAAGCCCUUUAGAAGAUUGUUUCGUUGGAUGAAAAUGAUAAACUCGAAAGGGGGCUCCAUGCUACUGCUCUCCGCUUCCGUUUACUUAGACAACACGGCUUUGAGGUCUCCCAAGGUCCGUUUUUAUAUGUUACGAUGUCACCCACCUACAUAUGAUUUGCUAACAUGGUACAUGCAUGCAGAUGUGUUUGAGAGAUCUAAGGACAAGGAUGGUGAACUCAAAGGUGAUGUGCAAGGCUUCCUUGGUCUAUAUGAAGCAUCCUUUCUUGGCUUUGAGGGAGAAAAUCUGUUGGACGAGGCAAGUUAGUCAUGCACUAGAACUUCCAUAUCACUUUUGAUUGUAUAGAAUGGAAGCACGAUGGUACCUUGACAAAUAUGAGCCUACCAGUUGCUACUCGAACUUGCAAUGUUGGAUUUCAAUAUGGUGCAAUCAUUACACCAGAAAGAGCUGCGGGAACUGUCAAGGUUAUUUAAAAGUUUCAAUUCUUAAUUAAUUACCUCAUAAGAACUUUGUAUGGUGAUACCAGGGAGUCUGUUUACAACACACUCCUCAACCAAUUAAUUAAGCUAGGAGAGAGAUAGAAGAAGAUCAAUUAAUAUACACUUAGGUGUAGCCUAAUUGACUAAUUAAUGUAUGUUUUGUUAGAUGGGGCUGCCAAGCAAGCUGGAGUUUGUCCGAGACAGAUUAUUGAAGGUAUAUUUCUGGGCACCCGACCCUCAAUUCAGUGAAUGUCGUAAAGUUGUAACUAAAAUGUUCGGACUUGUCACCAUCAUCGAUGAUGUAUACGACACAUAUGGUUACAGAUGGGACGUGAAUUCUAUAAACACACUUCCAGACUACAUGAAGUUGUGCUUCUUAGCGCUCAAUAACACGACUUAUAGCAUCCUUAAAGAAAAGGGGCAUAACAAUCUUUCUUAAUUAUUUGACAAAAUCUGUACGUAGUUAUCUCCUUGGUUGAUUAAUUCGUUGAUAUAUGUGUCAUGUGUAAAUGCAAAUAAUUAAUAAGAUUAUAUGGUGACAUACACUAGUGGCGUGAUUUGUGCAAAGCAUUCCUCCAAGAAGCAAAAUGGUCAAACAAGAAAAUAUAAUUCCAGCAUUCAGUAAGUACCUAGAAAAUGCAUCUGAUACUCCUCCGGCGUGGCUUUACUUGCUCCUUCCUACUUCUCAGUGUGUCAACCUAAAGACAUCUCAGAUCAAUCUCUUCAUUCUUUAACUAACUUUCAUGGCCAGCUUGUGCGAUCCACGUGCGCAAUUUUUAGGCUUUGCAAUGAUCUGGCUACCUCUGUGGUACGUGUGUGUGUGUAUAUAUAUAUAUAUAUCAACAAAUGUUGGUUUUGUCAGAGGAACUCGAAUCUGUCUCUCUUAAUCAUCCAAUCCAGCUUAUAUCUUGGGCCCUUUGCUGUAAGUAUAUGUAAUUAAACUAAGUUGCUAGCUAGACCAGAGCAUUGAACACAUAUGCGUGGCAGACUGAGUUAGAGAGGGGUGAAACAACAAAUUCAAGAAAAUUACACAUGUUUUUUCAAUUUUCUUAAAACUUACAUAUGUAUCUUUUAAAGUUUAAGAGAAUUACAUAUAUUCCUUUUCAGUUUUUAAAACCUACACAAAUUUCUCUAGAUGUUGUCUAAAUAAAAAAAUAUUAAAAUAUAUUUUUCAUCCUCAUAAAUAUAGAAAUAUUUAGAAUUCAUCACUACAAAAAAAAUUAUUUACUUUUCAUACUUGCAAAAUUUAAAUUUGUUAUUUUUUGUUCAAAACUAUGUUUGGAUACAUCUGAAUCGACAUGUAUGUUGUAGAAAAUGUUAGGUUUUUCAAGUUUUUUAUAUUGCUUUUUUAGCCUUUUUUAUAAAUUAAAAUUGUAAACUAACAUGACUUGUACAAUCAAAUGCUUGUGUAGGUUUUAAAAACAAAUAAGAGGUAUGUGUAAUUUUUUUAAAUCUCAGGAAAAACAAAUGUAAUUUCCUCAAAAUCUCAAGAGAGACAUGUGUAUAUUUUUUAAAAGGAGGAAAGAUACAUGUAAUUUUGUAAUGGGCUUUAGGUUAGGCCCAAGGAAGCUGGUAUGUAUUUUGUAAGGGCAAGAGUCGAGAGAAGAAGAAUGGCGACUGAGAAUGAGAAGAGAAAGCGGAAAGAAAGUAGUGAUGUUAGAAGCAAAAAGAAGAAGAAGCAGAGAAGCGAAGAUGAAGAGGCGACGAAGCAGUUGCGUUUCUUUGAGUCGGCGAUGGGUAUUGAGCUUUCUUCGCUGGAGUUGGAAUCCCUCAAAGAUAAUAAGUGCAUUUUGGAGGUAUCAGAAGCCGCUGAUUCAGACGUGACAGUAUUGGGCAAAACUAUUAGGGCAGCGUUUGGCGCGUCUUGGAAAGAGGCUCUCUGCGAAGGGAAGCCUGUAGAGGGAAAAGUCAUUGCUGGAAGCCCCGCAGUUCUUAUCAUAACUUCUUCUGCUUUAAGAUGCAUAGAUCUCUUAAGGUUCUCAUCUCUCUAAUUCUACUCUACAAGCACUGUAUUUCUUUAACCGAAACCCUAAUUUUAUUUACCGCUGCAGAGGCUUUCGCUCUAUGACUGAACAAUGCCAUGCUGCAAAGUUAUUCUCAAAGCAUAUGAAGCUUGAGGAGCAGGUACAUUAAUUAAUUACCUACGGAUCAAUUCCCUUCAUUUCUUAGCAAUUUGAAAUUCAAGUAAAUGUGUUGAUUGUGAUUUAGGUCAAACAUCUUUGUACACGAGAAACAAGUUAAUGUGUCUUAUUUUCAAUUCUAGUUCUAAUACAUUCCUCUUGUUAAUUCCUCCUUAUGCAAAUUCCUAUGGUCCCGUCCGGUUGUGAAACAAGAGAAAAAUUUGUAGGCACAAGGCUGAGAGCUCACACAUUUUAACUUUUAAGAUUAAAAAUUUCAAAAUAUUAUUAUCAUCCAAUAAAGCAAGUUUAAUUUCCAUACGUACAUAGGAGCUGUGAUUUUUAAAGUUUCAAUUCCCUUUAUCCUUGAACCCUGAAAGAAUUUAAAUAAAUAAAUAUGUUGUUCUUCAUGAAACGUUGUCCUUUAUGAUUAAUGCAGAUUUCUUUGUUAAAAAACCGUGUUAACAUUGCUAGCGGCACACCAAGCAGGUUGGUUGGUUGGUCAUCCCAUAUCCUUUUACUUACUAACCAUAUACUUUUUUUUAAAUAUUGUCGUAUAUCAAACUUUCAUUUCAGGAUAAAGAAGCUAAUUGAUGCUGAGGCGUUAGACCUUUCAAGGUUGCAAGUACUUGUGCUUGAUCUGCAUCCUGAUGUAAAGGGCUAUUCCUUGUUGACCCUUCCACAAGUCAGGUUUGCUCUUCUUCGCAAGCAAUUCAAUCUCGUCGUCUCUCUUCUAUGAUUUUGCAUAAAUUUAUUAACGUUACUACUGACUGGCAGAGAUGAAUUCUGGGACCUUUUCAAGAAUUAUUUCUAUCAACCGAUGCUUCAGGGUCAUCUGCGUAUUUGUCUCUAUGGUUACCAGGUCUCUGUUCGUUUAAAGGCCAAACAUAAACAUAAACAAGGACAUACAAUUCCCGAUGCAUAAAUCCUCCAUCUUUUGAUUUAGGCAUGUAUUUUUUAAAUAUUAUUUUAUUAAGAUUUCAUUUCAUUUGCCUUUGACAGUCAUGUGUUUAAGCAUGUGUUUGACAGUCAAACGUUGUCAUGCAAGGGUCAGAUUAGUCAGUCAUGUGUUUAAGCAUGUACUUUCAUCUUUCGAGUUUGAACCGAAUACUCCUUCAUAUCAUUCACUUCUUGAAUUUACUAUUUCUUUAACUCAAUUAGAAAGAGUCAAAAUCUUAAUGUCAGUUCUUCGAAUCAAAAUGUCUAGAGAUUUACUUAAAUAAAUGAGAGGGCUAUAUCAUUCGCAACCAUUGGUAUAGAUAAAACCAUACCUGGAGGAUCUAAUAUCAGAUUAUGCUGUAGUUUAUGGAUCGAAGGUUAACCCUAUCAAAUGUUUAUGCUAUCAAUAACUAAACUAUUUUUCUCAAGUACAAAUAUAGCGGCGGAAAUCCAAUUAGUGAUUUUUUUUCGAGUCACAGCACAAGAUGUUGACAGCUAAAAAAUCAAGUGUGAGUCGUCUGCCUCAUCCACUUGGUAGCUGACCACUUCUCCCCAGAGAUCACCUCACAUCCUCCAUGCACACUAUUCGGAUCUGACUGUCCAUCCAGUCCCUGACAAGACAAGUAGAUAAUUUUCCAUCGUAAAUUUUCCAUCCAGCUAAAAAAUCCAUAGCACAAACAAUUACAGACUCUCCAUGAUUUAAUACUCUUGAGCAUUGACAUUUUCUAUCACAAGAAUAGUAGGGCUGCCCUAUUGCUAAAUCAGCUAAAGCCUGAUGAGUAUAAAUUGAAACAAGAAUAGAGGGGAGGAAUUAUAAGAUCAUCUCCGUAUAUGAUUCUAAAACAGAUUCUUCCUAUUUAGCACCGGUUCUUAACAAAAGACCGGUUCUUAACAAAAGAUGAAAUGGUUGGGGAAAGAUCUCAUCAAGCACCGGGUGCUUGUAUGUGUGUGGGGUCAAAUGCUACAAAACAAAAACCCAAAAAAGAAAAAAAAAUAUUAAUAAAAUGUUUGGAUCUGUUAUGAGAUCUCAGACAUACUUUUGGAACCCAAACUCAGUUUUGUAUCAUGUUUGGAGUUCCCCAAAAUUAAUUUUGUAACCUGUUUAUGGCAAACUUGGGUUUAGAUCAAAAGCAACAAAUGUUUUAAAGUAAAAGUACUUUUGAUUUGUAUAUUUACUUUAAAAACAUGAAGUAAAAUUACUUUUUUUUGUAACCAUUGUAAUUAGGACCUUUGAUUCUUCAGUGGGAUCUCAAGGUAUUCUCACAAGUUUCAUCCCUUUGGGUCAAUUGUUGGAUUAAUCUUUGGUCCAAAGUUUAGUCACACUUAAAGUUUUUCGCCCCUUCCCAAGAGUAUAUUUUGUGGGAAUCGAACUCAGAUCCUUCCCACAAACUCGACGUGUGUUGUCAACUGAGUUACAUCCCAUUGAAUAAGUAGAAGUACUUUGAUUGGUAUUAUUUAAACAAAUUUCAUUUAUCAACAUACUUUUGGAACAAAAAAUCUCCAAAUAUAAAUCAAACUAUAGAAAACUCAUUUUUAUCAAACUUAAGUUUACAACAUACUUUUGAAUCAAAUUUAUGUUUGCAACCUUUAACCCAUGCAUGCACUGAGAUGUAUAAAACUUAAAAACUCACAUUAUAAGAUAGUAUCAGAGCCUAUCUUAAAUUCAUUAACGGGCUACCCAUCAUAUUAUCCACACACCAAGCCCAAAAGAGUUAAGUGUGAGGAGGUGUAUUGGAAAAAACUCAAGUCUCACAUCGACUAAAGAUAAUGCAAAGAUAGAAUGUAUAAGUGGGAAGAUAAAGCAAACAGCAGUUGAAAAAAAGGCUCUCUUGAUUUAAGAAUGAUUCCAUACAGUUUCAAACAAACUCCCAUCCUGUGAUUUGAGAAAUAGGUCAGUUCAACAGAUUUUAAGUUCCAAAUUAAUAUGAGAUGAGCCUGUAUUUUAUUUUAUUUUAUUUGUAAGGGAUUCGUUGGCCUGUUGAUGCUGAAAUUGAUAACUCCAAGAAAUUAGAGUUAUUUAAGCCUUAUUUUGUAAAUAAUUGUCUUACUUUCUCCUUAUAAUCAUUAGGUGUCCGUGGAUAAUGUCCAUAAUAAGCAAACUAAUUACACUAACCAUACUCCAGAAAAGCACUGCAUUUCCUUUAAUUGGUUUCACAGAUAGCCCUUUGACAAGUUUCCCACCACAGCUACAUUCACCUGAACCAGCCUGAAUCAUAUUGUAUAUCACUAACAGCAGCAUCAGUACGGUCAAAAUGUCCAACUAGAAUGACAGAGAACAGGUUAGCACAUAUAUAGAUAACUAUUACUAGCAUUUUACAAAUUGAGCAUAUUUCUCAUGGUAAAGGUAAAAUCCAAUUAUCCAAAUAGAAUCAAUAUAUACCGUAAUUCAGGAAAAGACAAUAAGGCAUAAGAUUGACAAAACUAGUUUAACCAGUAAACAUAAUGACGGGCAUCAUAAUAAUUUGGCAUUCCCUUUCAAAGCCUGUCAGAACACAUAUAAAUUAAAAUCUAACUAAUUAUCAAUGAGAGGAAUGCAGAAUAAGAUUUGAAUAAAGCUGGGGGACAUACAAGAUACAGCAGAAUAUUUUGAUACUUCAAGGAACUAACAGAGGAAGUGAAAACCAAAAGACCCAUAUAUUUUGUUGGUCAUUAAACAAAACACACUCUUUUCUCAGUUAGAACCUAAACCUACGGCCCAGACACAAAUCCAGCAUCAGCUUGGCAUCUAAUAUUUGCUUGAGUCAGACUAUUCAUAUGCUGCUUCAUAUGUAUACAGCAACAACCAAAAUAUGUUAAAUGACAUAUUUCAGAAAACAAGAAGCUUACCAAUGGGAAAUAUGUUUCUCCUCCUUCAAUAUUGUCACUUAAAUACAUAAGCAUUGUGGCUAUUCGCUGCCCACCACGCUUCAAGUUGAACUGUCUCAAAAAAGAAAGGCACAAAAGGUUAUAGAUGGGAUUUCAUUGAAGCCACUCUAAGGAAAUUCUUAUGUUGGCUAUAAUUUGAAAAUUAAGAAAAAUACAACUUACAGUAUCAGAAAAAUAGUCAUGAUGGGGUUUGUAAUAUUGAUUCUUCUCGUACCUGUGCUGCUGCAGAUGUUAGUCUUGAUACUAGUAAAACCCAUCUUGUUCAGAUAUAGCAUGAAAAAAUAAGUCAUAUUCUCACCUCAGGACUUGCAUAAGCUCUCCAUUUUCAAUUGGUAUUUGGGAAUAGACAGAAAUUCUUUUUUCAAUUGCCUAGUUGAGCAACGUGAACAUAUUUUAUCAGACUGUACAAUUAAUGUUAUUCAAUAAAAUGUGGAUUUGUACAAAAAUAAAUAAAUAUAAGGUUUUCAAGGAAUCUAAAAUUUGUAUAUAAUGAUGAAAAAAAGUAAAUAGUAUUAUACAUAUGCAGAAAUCAAAUUUAUGAUUAACUAGUGCAGCUUCAUGCUUAGCACUUGCAGGUUCUUUCUAAGGAACUACAAUAAAUACCAAACCAGUUCAUAUGUUUAAAACUGAAUCUAAACUGGUUCACUGAAAUCCAGACCAGUUCUGAACUGAUUCACUGAAAUCCAAACUAGUUCGGUUCUGGAAACUGCAUCUUAUUAGCAGUUUGGUUUGGUUCAGUUUUUCAUAGGGAACCAAAUCAUGCCCACCCUUAAUUUAAACGGUGGAAAUGUUUCCAAUUUUUUGAUGAUCAGAUUUAUGAAUCUGGGGAGCAAAAUAACUCAUUGUGAUUGUGAUGUAACCAAAACCAAGGAGUGAGUCACUAAUCCCUAAAGGACCAUAGGGGUGGCACAAUGUUCCAACUUUCAAAAACCAAACAGGUCAGUGAUCACUAAUAACCACCCAACAAGGAUUCUUAUUGAACCAGCUAGUUCCAUGCAAAAGUGUUGUUUUUAGUGUGUAUCAGACUACAGAAAACUGUUUCAAUUUAAUGGUUACACCAGAUGGUGCAGUCCAUGCUUUUUACACUGAUUUAAUGACUUAAGUAAGACUUGAGGGGAAAGUAAAAUUGUUAACUUACUUGUACCAUAGGAUAUUUUCUCUCUUGAGGAUUCAAAAACAUACCAGAGCUAGUCCUGACAUCACUCUUGAUUCCCUGCACAAGAUAGAGAUAUCACGUUUCAUGAAGAAACACAUGUUCAUAGAUGCCAAUGACCCUAUAUACUACUACUGCACUAUAUGUCCACAUUUGUUUUGAUAUGGAUUUUCUUUAUGUAGUGAUAGAAGCAUCUGAAAGUAGUCAUUUGGCCAUGUUGGAAGAGGCUAAAGCAAUUCUUAGUAUUUUUCAUGGUUGCCUCACAACCAGAACUGUGUUUAGCAGCACAAAUUUACCAUUUUUGCCAACAGAAGCACUUGUUAAAGAGUCAUUAAGUGAAUUAGCAAGGUAGUUGCAAGUAGAAUGGCAAAGAUAUAGAAGGUUUAAUUGUAACAAAACAACAAACUGCUGUCUAUGCAUAUGCACUUUGUUUUCCUAAAUGGCAUGUAGUAUUUUAUGUUAAAUUCGUACAUACAAAAAUUUUCCCAUGAUGAAUCUGGCAAUACUUAACUUGAGCAAAAUGAAACUUAAAACCAACCUCAUCACCUAGCAUGUAUUGAUGAUUAUGAUCAAUCAAAGUGAAAUUUCAAAAAAGAAAACUGUCAAUGUACCUUUCCAGUUUUUGUAUCCACAACAUUUGAAAUAUGCAGGCGAGGGAGAGCAAUAGCCCUGAGAUAAUCGCAUUCCUGUGAAGAUAAAAUAAUUUUAAUACACUCGUAUGCCCAUCAUCAGCAUAGUUUUUAUUCAGCAGAUGAUUUUUUUUUUAAGUUACUGUUAAUUGCCCAGGUGUAGCAUAUUUGAUGUUUGAUCUACUUUCAUGGGAUAGGAAGAUCUUAUAUAUGGCUAACAAGCAUAUCACACUUUAGAUCUAGCAGACUAGCACUUCACGAGCAAACUUCUUUUUUUAAUUUCCCACUCAAUAGGUGAGAGACUAAUCACCCAGGGCAUGAUCAAGAAGUAAAGCAGAGAACCCUUCCCAACAGAAUUUUUUCCAUACACAAAUCUCGGAAUCAAACCCAAGAACACACAAUUAAGAGAUUUGAGCACCCUUCCGCUCAGACCAACACGUGUUGGUACCUCAUAAGGAAAUUUUAAUUGACUCUUCAAUCUUCACUGAUGAAGCACCAGAAUAGAUCCACUCAUCCACUAAAUGGUACUUUGCCAAGAGAAAUUGAAGAAUAUGCAAUUAAGUGAAAAGGGUCCCAGAUGGCAAGAGUGGAUGCUUGAUAGGGUCUUUCUUUUUUGUUUAACAGCCUUAACUCCAGUAGUUUAUAUGAUCUUAUAUAUAGACACACACUCACACAUACACACAGAGUCCAAACAUGCAGUUUCUAGUUUUCCCAUAAACAAAAGCACAGAAUAUAAUGACAAUUAUAGAAUGAUGUAACUAUUAGAUUUAUACCUUAACUUUACAACCAAAUUAAUAGAUAUGUUAGAAUUAACAAUGGUUUACCAUAAUAUGGUUGUAAUUCAGGGAUUCUGAGUUUUAAGAGUGAAUGUUUCCCUUUUUUUCUUAUUAUUGACAAACAUGCCUGGCUCAACAUACGAGAAUAGAUGCCAACAAAGAAACCAUCAAACUAGAAAGAAAUUUAGAAUGAUUGUGUUCUGCAGAGACAACACUAGAUUUUAUUUUUAAUAAAAAAACUCAUGAAUCUCGUCCGUAGUUCCAAAUGCCUCAAGAAUGCCAUAACUACAACCUCUUUCCUUUUUG
This 45835-nucleotide long non-coding RNA is filed under the name Glycine max (soybean). RNAcentral describes it as "long non-coding RNA (GMAX_LNC004692)". Lineage: Eukaryota; Viridiplantae; Streptophyta; Magnoliopsida; Fabales; Fabaceae. The record is from RNAcentral.